CGGAGGGAGUAGGUAGCAGCGCAAUUUGGUAUCUAUACAGUAGCACAUGCUGGUGCCUAAUACGUGUAAUCCGCGGGGAGGACGAAUCUUUUGAUGUGAGUAAUACUAAUUUUACAGUUCAGUUCUACUCUACUACUUGACCAAAAUAGCAGACGGUAGAGAUAAAAACUGAGAGCUGGAAUUUAGAAGAGAAGAUGUCAGAAUUGUGUACGUGGAUAGCUAACAGUAUAGCCCACGGGAAGAUAUCAGAAUUCUUUCUAAAAAAGAAGAUAUCAGAAUUAUGUUGAUCGUGCUGCCGGAAUUCAAUCUUCUGGUGAUCGAUAUAGCAGAAGGAUGGGGUUGCAUUCAACUGUUUAUUAUACAGAGAUGGUUGAAGGAACAUAUAGUCUUACAAAGCAAAUUAAUCCAGUUAGAGUUGUUACUGAUCUUCCAGAUUUCCUUCUUCCCGUUUAGUUGCCGUCUUAAGAAAAAUGUAAUGUUGUUGUUUAUCACGAUUCUGUGGAAUCUUGAAGUCUUGAGUUUAGCGAGUCUUAAGCCAUUUUCCAUUCAGUCGAACAUGUAGCUUGCUUUUCGAUUGUCUGCUUAUUAAUUUAUUUGGACCAAACUAUUUAUUGGUUGGCUGCUUCAUUUCAAUUCAGUUUAGUCAAGUAAGAUGUUCACCUCGUGAUAUAUUGUCGUGCAGCUUCUGCAGAGAAAGGAGUAGCUCUGGUGCAGAAAUACAGAGGCUCUUGGCGUGGUACAUUUGCUGCCUGUUAGAAGCAUUUGUGGCGAUGUAGCUGUGUAGCCUUUUAGCAUAAGCUUUAAAGCUUUCCCGAUGUUGUUUUAUUCUCCUUCGACUAUGCACAUAUGCUUUCUCUAACAAUUUACGUUUGUUCUGGAGCCACUGUCUCUGAGAAAGGCUAACAGUUAGUUAAUCCAGGGGCAUAUGCAACUAUCUGUACCUUAUCUUGUGUCUUCACUGAUGCAACCGGACUCUCGGUGUAUCUCGUAUGAUGUUCUGGUUCUGCUACUUUGCUGCCUUUUCUUUGGAUGUAGCUUAAUUCCUUUGAUUUCUAUUGUUUUGUUUGUCUAUCUCACCUGAAAAGUGAAUAAUCUUACUGCAUUCUCGACCGUAGUAUAUAUCUGUCGAACUAAAGUUGGUGCAGUCAGGAUGGGCAAAGCACCGAUCAUUGGGUAGGGUUUACUGGGUUGUUUGGUUUGUCAUAUUAGCAUCUACAAUCGGACCCACCACUUCCCUUCGGGCGGACAGCUAGAAUACCGGGGAAUCGAAAAUACUCAAUCAGACCCACCAAACCUAUACCAAAUGUUUGGGAAACGUUUGGGGCCGGGGCGCCGGCCGAAUCUUCGGCCGGUCGCGUCCACUCGCCUAGCGACACGUAGGAUGGGGGCCCACUCGCCUAGCGACACGUAGGAUGGGGGCCCACCUACAUGCGUCUUCUUUCUCUUUUUUUCUCUUCUUCCUAUCGCUCAUAUCUCUCUUCUCUCUCCUGCCGCUAUGGUCAACCCGGCGCCACACGCCAGAGGCCCCUUAGGGGAAUCAGCUGAUCUGGCCGCCCUAGACCAGAUCCGCGUGGAUCCACAUGCAUCGAAGCUUUGCCUACUUCGUCGACGACCCAGCCAGGCUGGAGUUGUAACCAGCCAUGGCAGACUACACCCCAUGGCGUAAUUCGCUGGAACUGGCAGACGUCGAGGGGUACAACCAUGGUGUUUUUUUGCUACAACCGUUUGUUGGUUUUGCUCUACUAUCAGCGUGCAGAACCUUGCAAUUUCGGUGACCCUCGACUAGAAAGUGGCAGAGGCAUUGCAGAACCUGCUGCACGCGCUCAUGCUACAAUCACGCGUUCAUGCUGUAAUAGCUAACCCAAAAGCUUCAAAUGAGAUGAAAAAGAAGCUUCAACUAGAUAUAUGAAAAGCUGCAAGCAGUCAUUGGCAUGUUAGAAUGCCAUGUCAGAAUGCUACAACUGUUGACAUAAAAUGCUACAACCCUUGAUAAAAAAAGUUUCAAUCGAAACGAUAGAGAAAGCAUUAACCAAGACUGUUACAACGAAAAAUAGCUGCAACUGUUGAUAAAAAAGUUUCGACCGUAGAUGUAAAAAGCUACAACCAUUAAAAGAGAAAGCUACAACCAUACACUGCAUAAUCAAAAAAGUUGCAUCCAUUAUAGAGAAAGCUUCAAUCGUAUGUGCGAAAAGCUUCAAUCGUUGCCAUGUCAAAAUGCUACAACCAUUGACAUAAAAUGCUACAACCCUUGAUGAAAAAAGCUUCAACCGAAACGACAGAGAAAGCAUUAAUCAAGACUGUUACAAUGAAAAAUAGCUGCAACCAUUGAUAGAAAAGUUCCGACCGUAGAUGCAAAAAGCUACAACCAUUAAAAGAUAAAGCUACAACCAUACACUGCAUAAUCAGAAAAGUUGCAUCCGUUGUAGAAAAAGUUUCAAUCGUUGUGCGAAAAGCUUCAACCGGCAUGCGUUGCCACCGGAGCUGCAAUCACAGUUAAUGGCCUGGUAGCCGUCGUCGACGCAAUUUUGGUGCAACGAUGAGCAUCAAUGGCGAGUCGCGGCGGCGGAGCUACAACCGGGGAGAGCUACAAGUGUCGCCGCUGCAAGCUGCAACCGCAGAUGUAGUUUGUUUCAUGCGUCGCGACGACGAUGAGAAUGGCCGGCGAGUGUUGGAAGCGGCGACGGGGACGGGCGACGAGGGUGGGGACCGGCGACGGGGAUGGCCGGCGAGGGUGCGGAUCGGUGACGAGGACGGCUACCGGAAGGGCUAGGAGGCGCGGCGCGGCGCAACCCGAGUGAGGGGAUCGGACCCGAGGAAGAAGAAGCUGGGGUAAUUUUUUUUGCUCCAGAUCCAACUGCUGCGUAGCUCGCAUCGGGCGGCUAGGGCUGGACCGGCCGAAAUUUUCGGCCGAUGCGCCGACGCCUAGCAGUGCCCCAAAUGUUUGGGCUGUCCGGCACCCUUCAUACGUAACUCCACCAAACUCAUCCAAAGCUAUGCCAAAUGUUUGGGCUGUCCGACACCCUUCAUAUGUAACUUUACCAAAUCAAUCUCAAAUGUUUGGGCUGUCCAGGACCCUUCAUAUGCAACUCAGCAUAUAUUGGGUGGAUAUGAGGUGGUCAAAACCUCGGCUCUUCCAGCCGCACCAUCCCAGGGACUUUGCCCAAUAAGCAGCAACGGCAACACACGAGGAAAAGGGCAUGUUGUCGAGGGGCGGCCAGGAAGGAGCAGGUUGAGGCCAUGCCACCAUGUUGGGCCGGCCGGAGGACACAAACAAUAGUCGGAGGAAGGCCCGAACUUCGCUAGAUCGGAUCCGGGAUGGAGGGGAAGGGGGUGCCACGGUGCGUCAGGGUCGGAGUGGCCUGCCAUCACCAUCCUGGGCCGGCGUGCAGCUUCGUCGGUAGCCCUCCAACAGCGGCGAUGCAGAGGGAGGAGGGAGCUAGCGGCGGUGGCUAGCUUUCCCUCAUGUUGCGGGGAAUGAGUUUCACCCAAUUCUACACACACAAAAACGGAAAAAAAUCAUAAAAAUCAAACUAUUAUACAAUAAUUACUUUAUGUAACAAGGAUAUAGAGAGAGAUUGUAGAAAGGGAUGGGAUAGUUAUUUUUGUAAAUUCCUCAACUUAAGAAAAAACACAUAUACAUAACAUAAAAAAUAAUAAGUAAGAUGAGAUUCGACCUCCCCCUGCAUACUUAAUUUCUUCUCCUAUACAAAAGCUAGCAAACCCGGCUCCAUUGGUAAUUCCAUCAAUAACACCCUUAUAAAAAAAUGUUAGUUCGGUUAAUCCUCUUAUAUCGAGGAUAAAAAGUCCCUAUUAUACAAAAUAUCUAUAUAACCAUGAUUAUAUGACCAACUGAUGGUGUGUGUCUUUUCUUUCGAUUUGUAGGUUGACGGUGACCAGAUUAAGCAUGGCGACUUAAGAAAUUGUUUGCUAUUUACUUCUAUGGCAAUUUCCUGUUUCCUAUCCUGGCAAUUUUGCCAUGUGAAUUAACAUGUUGUAUGGUGGUGGCAUGAAUUUUUUUUGAAUAAAAAAUCUUAUAACAUGGCAAUACAUUGUUUUAGUUCAUUCACAUGACAUUUUUUUGAAUUUUUUCUAUCCUAAAUCAUGGCAAAUUUAGAUAAUUGUUUGUAAUGGUCACAUGUGAAAUGUAGGGUUUUGUUGUUCUAUACAACAAUCCAUGUUUUUAAUAAUGUUUUAGUAGUCGCCAGACAAUAAAUUCUUUCACUUUUGUACAUUUGCAUGGUAAAAAAAUUAGGACGUUUUUCUGUCCCAAAUGACGGAAAUUUUUAUACAAUUGUUGUUAUUUUCACAUGGCAAAAUGUAGGUAUUCUGUUUCUGAGUUGAACCAUGGCAAAAAAUGGGCUUACCAUGGCAUUUUCAUUGUAAUUUUCCCUUUUACCAUGUAUUUGUAGAUACUAUGGCAUAUUAUUUUCUUGAACAUAGUAUUUUUUCCAUGAUCCUUUUAAAAAAAUCCACUCAUCUAUGAUUUUCCUACCUUCCACCAUUAUAUAGACAUGAAAAAUGCACACAUAUUACGAAUUUCAUCUGUCCGAGUUUCAACGAGCCAAUGUGAAAUUUGAUGACACAUGCCAAUUUUGGUUUCCUUUGCCAUGUCCAUGUCCAAAAGUAGAAAAACGAGAACUUGCGAGGUAUUAUCUACAUUUUUGACGAUCCAUGGUGAUUUGGUUUCAUGAUGCAUGGCAAUUUGGUUUGAUGACACAUGGUAAUUUUGGACAUGUCCAUGUCCAAAAUGAAACUAAUUUUGCCAUGUAUCAUCUACAUUUUAUCCCACAUUUGCCAUGGCAAGCAAGAUCCUUUGUACUACCUUUUGACAAUUUAAUUUCAUGUUUGGCCAUGCCAACAAUUAUUCCUUCCCUUUUUUGAUGAUGACAUGAUAACAUGUGUUUCCAUGGAAAAUUUGAAAUAUUUUUUUAGGAUAUAUUUUGCUAAUUUUGCCAUGUCUUAUUUACAUUUCUUCUGAUAUUUUCCAUACCUAUGAAAAAUAUUUUUGUUGUCUUUAGCAGUUUUGUUCUCAAUUGCGCCAUGGUAACUAAAUAUCCUUAACUUUUUGUGUUCCCAUGGCAAUUUUUGAAAUGUUUGUUGGAAAACAAAUUGCUAUUUUUCCAUGCCUCAUCUAUGAUUUUAUUUACUAAAUUUUCCAUGGCAAAAGAAGAUCUUUUUAUUGCCUUGGCAAUAUAUUUUUUUCCAAUGCCAACUAAAUAUACUUCAAAUGGAGUUUUUGUAGCAUGGCAGAUUUUGGUUUGCGAAAUUUAGAUGCACAAUAUUCUUUGAUAAUGAAUUAUAUAUAUAUAUAUAAACAAAUAUAACUUUACAUACCAUGGUCAAUUAUUUUGGUACAUUUAUUUUGGACAUGGCAAAUUUAUUAGACAUACCAUGGCAAAUUAGAGUUUUUGAUAAAUUAUUUUGUGUAUGCCAUGGCAAAUUUGUUUCUACAUGACUAUUUCAAAACUUUUAAUUUUAAUUUUUUUACCAUCUUCUCUUAUGAAACAAUUUCUUUGGUUAAUCUACUAUGUGAUGGUACAAAUAAUUUUAGAAUUUUGCAUGCUCUAUACAAACAAUUUCCCCUUAAUUGAUAUGUGAUGUUUUAUACCUUUCUUCCAAAUCUUGCCAUCAUUGAAUUUUUAUUUCACAAUGGCAAGAUUUACAUUCAUUAGUUGCAUUGCUAGACCAUGGCUGGUUUUACAUCCAUGGCGAAGAAAAACAAUAUCAAAAUUUUAAACAAAAUUGCAUUGCUAGGCCAUGGUAAUUUGUUUCUUGGAAAAUUUAUUUUCAGAGCCAUGUCAAUUUAGUUUUUUCCCUGUGCCAUGACAAAAUUGUCUUUGACAUUCAUGUCAAAUUUAGUUUUUCAGCAAUUUGAAAAAUUCCACACGUUACAAUCACAGUAUAAAAACUCAAAUUGCAUUUUUUUCAUUUAGUGUUAUGUCGGGGGCGAUGCUGAUUCCCGCCAACACCUAUGGGGACAGGGCCCCUUUUCGGUUCGGUGGGGGGCGGAGAGCGCACAAAGAGCGGAUCGAGGCAGUGCACGCGGGCGAUUUUACCCAGCUUCGGGCCGCACGGAUGCGUAAAACCCUACUGCUGCUUGUUUGUGUAUAUUGGAUUCUUGCUCAGGAGUGAUGGACGCUGCCAGACUGAGCUUGAGAGUGUUCCUGGUGUUAAACGAGCCGAACUGCUCGAGCCUCUGAAUUCUCCGAACCCCCUCUACGUUGCAGCCGGGCCUCCUUUUAUACUUUAAAGGGGUCACCGACAGGUGGCAACGUAGACUAGAAGGGUAAAAAUGGAAAAGGAUGCGGUAGGUGCAGCUACCGCUACUGUGGAUACAGUGCACCCUACCUAACUCUGACGGCAGGGGACAAGGGCAUUAAAUGCCUGUCUGAGUCUCCUAAACAGUGCAAAAGGUGACCGUUAGGAGCGCCACCGUUUGCCACGAUGGGCUUCUCUUCAUCUCCGCUUGCCACCACGUACCCCUAGCUGCACGGCCUCCUGCCACGUGUGCUUGGCAGAGUCCUAGGGCGACACGUUAGCAGGUGUGCUGGAGCGCGGGCACGAAGUGGGGGUUUCCCGCGGCAUGCUCCUUGCCGCGGCCGUCAUCUUGUCGCGUCUGGAAGCUUGUCGCUCGCCGGUUCUUGCCGGGACGCAGGGCGCGUCGCGGCAAGCUUUCUUGGUAUGUCUUGAGUGGCCUUCCCGGCAAGCUCCUCUUGCCGGGGUCUUGUCUCUUCCCGGCAAGCUCCUCUUGCCGGGGCCUUGGUUGGCCUUCCCGGCAAGCUCCUCUUGCCGGGGCUUUGAUUUGAAUACUUUGUUCUUGAAUGGUCUUCAAGGGAACCACGGAGGGUCCUGGCGGUAACCCGGCAAGCCUUGCCGCGGGGCGCUGCAACUGCCUGUGCACGAGUUCGGGGUAAUAGGGUACCCCUACUCUAGUACACCGAUAGGAGCCCCCGGGCCUGGGUCAUACACGAUGCCGAGCGCUGUUGGGCCAGGCCCAAAACAGUGCACGAGCAUGCGUGGCCUAGGUCACGCCGAAUCUAACUCUGCUCCCACCGCGCACGCCCAGAACGGCACGCGUCAAACGCGGCGUCGAGAUCGUGGGUGGCGUGCGUGGGGAUAAGCCCCCCGAGCAUGCGUCAGGCCAUGAUGAUGGGGACGAUUCACGCCCUCCUCCUUAAACGGAGGUAGGUGUGAGGGUGUGGUGCAUUUACUGGACGAGGCCGGUGCGCGGUUUUCGGGACGUCCACUCCCCCCGUUCACGGGGCGGAGCGACGCCGCCUCAUCUGUCGCCUUAGUUCUGCAUCCCCGCCACGCGGCUCCCAUGCGCUUGAGGUCACGGACGGUGGAUUGGGAAACUGGGCCGUCGCGAGCGGGUUGGCCCCGACUCCCUGCCCUUCCCAUGCCUUGAUUCGCUGAGCAGGGCGGCCGAGCCCCCACCUCGCUCCUUUAUAAAGAGCGGGAUGGGAGCAUGGAAACCCGCACUCUCUCAUCUUCUCCUUUCUUUAGCUUCUGCUCCCCUUUCUCUCAUCUGCCAUGGAGAAAGGGAACCCAGGCCCUUCAUCGGUGGCAGCGAGGGUCGCCACCAGACAGUGCCUCUCUCCCUCUUCUGCGCCCGUGGUGGCUGAGCCAGUCUUGAGGGGAAGAGGAAGGGGACGAGGUCGCGGACGAGGUCGAGGACGAGGUCGAGGCGCUCGGGGAAGAGGCGGACGGGGCGGCGCGUCAGCUUCACCUCCGCCGGCGGCUCUUCCCCCCACGGCGGUCCAUAUAGGGGACGACCCUUGCGAGUUCUUCGUCAGGCUGCGCCGGGCGCCUCGUCGUCGCCUCCGGCUUCCAGCCCCGUUUGCGCACGCGAUGGAAGUGGAGCCGCCCGAGACGCUGAGACUGCACAUGAGGGGCUGUGGGAUCAGCGGCACGCGAGUCCGCGUUGCAUUCCCAGGCCCUAAUGUGAUGUAUCUUGAUCAAGGGUGGAAGACGUUCGCUCGCAUCCACAGCUUGACGGAGGGGUUUACCCUCCAUUUUAAGUUGAUGGAGGGCGAUCUCCUCUCCGUCAAGGCCUUCGGGUGCUUCGGCACUCGGGCGAAGUGCUGCGUGGAUAGCUCCUCCGAUAGCGAAGGCUCCUCCUCGAGCGAGAGCGACGAGGAGGGGAGCGACAACAACAACGAGGGUAGCGGGCGGCGGAGUAGCGGGUCCGACUAGGCGUCGGGCGCCGCCUUGCGCGGCACCGGCGACUCCAUCAUCCGCGUCGCCGGCUUCUUGAACUCCCCGGGGUCGUCUCCUUGGGCGGCUGGCGUAGGGAGGCUGCGGAAGGGGAAGAGGGCAGGCGACAAGGCCGUCAAGCCGGAGUACAAGGGCGUGGUGCCCUCGACAGCGUGCUGACGUCCCGCCGCCCCGUCUUCGAGCCCCGCUUCCAGCAUCGCCGUCGCCGUCCAGCCUUCGGACGGCCCCCGGGAUGUUCCCUUGGUGUCUUCUGGCACCCGUAGCUCGCCUAGGCACUCCUUUUUCCCUUUUCGCCUCCUUGACCUGCCUCCUGAAAAGGGGGACAGGAAAGGGAUCACCGGCAUCUUAUCUUUUUAAUUUGUAAGCCUUCGGGCCUUAGCUGUAUCUAAAAUCUGUAAUCCUCUCUUUCAUGUUUUUCAUCCUUUAUGGACUGUACCUGAGUGGGAUGUUUUUUAAUGAAAGGGGAUGCUUGCCGGGUUAUUUGUCUCGCGAGUUAAACCCACGCCAAGGGGCAAAUCCUUGGUAUCCCUCAGACAGACAUUUCAUCUCCCGGCAACAGACCCUGCCGCCUUCCCACGUCACUCGACCUUUCUCACGCUUUUGACGGAGGCAGGAACGAGGUGGGUGCGGUCUCCUCGCUUCAUCCCCUUGCUUCUGCGACUACGACCAAACUUGGCCCCGAGAACGAGCCCCAGGGCCUAGAGUCGAGGGAGCACGGCAGUUUCCGGGAAGAAACGUGGUUUCGCAUUCCCCAGUCCAUAAGAGGAUGCAUGAUGAGGGAUGAAAGACUUAUCUGAUAGCGCAGCCCUCGUCAACUCUGGUUUGCCGUGGACGAUUCUUGGCACUCACAGCCCCCGGCGAUACUGGCUUGUCGGGAAGGCUCUUAUCUUCAGCAGAGAACUUCGUCGUUCUCGAUGCCGGCUUCCGGCAAGCUGAUUGCCAGGAAGGCUUUUAUCUUCAGCAGAGAACUUUGACGUUCUCGAUGCCGGCUUCCGGCAAGCUGGUUGCCAGGAAGGCUUUUAUCUUCAGCAGAGAACUUUGACGUUCUCGAUGCCGGCUUCCGGCAAGCUGGUUGCCAGGAAGGCUUUUAUCUUCAGCAGAGAACUUUGACGUUCUCGAUGCCGGCUUCCGGCAAGCUGGUUGCCAGGAAGGCUUUUAUCUUCAGCAGAGAACUUCGUCGUUCUCGAUGCCAGCUUCCGGCAAGCUGAUUGCCAGGAAGGCUUUUAUCUUCAGCAGAGAACUUUGACGUUCUCGAUGCCGGCUUCCGGCAAGCUNNNNNNNNNNNNNNNNNNNNNNNNNNNNNNNNNNNNNNNNNNNNNNNNNNNNNNNNNNNNNNNNNNNNNNNNNNNNNNNNNNNNNNNNNNNNNNNNNNNNNNNNNNNNNNNNNNNNNNNNNNNNNNNNNNNNNNNNNNNNNNNNNNNNNNNNNNNNNNNNNNNNNNNNNNNNNNNNNNNNNNNNNNNNNNNNNNNNNNNNNNNNNNNNNNNNNNNNNNNNNNNNNNNNNNNNNNNNNNNNNNNNNNNNNNNNNNNNNNNNNAUUCCGGCUUCCGGCAAGCUGGUUGCCAGGAAGGCUUUUAUCUUCAGCAGAGAACUUUGACGUUCUCGAUGCCGGCUUCCGGCAAUCUGGUUGCCAGGAAGGCUUUUAUCUUCAACAGAGAACUUUGACGUUCUCGAUGCCGGCUUCCGGCAAGCUGGUUGCCAGGAAGGCUUUUAUCUUCAGCAGAGAACCUUGACGUUCUCGAUGCCGGCUUCCGGCAAGCUAGUUGCCAGGAAGGCUUUUAUCUUCAGUAGAGAACUUUGACGUUCUCGAUGCCGGCUUCCGGCAAGCUGAUUGCCAGGAAGGCUUUUGGCGAAGAACUUCGUUGUUCUUGACACCGGCUCCCGGCAAGAUCGUUGCCGGNNNNNNNNNNAAGGCUUUUAUCUUCAGCAGAGAACUUUGACGUUCUCGAUGCCGGCUUCCGGCAAUCUGGUUGCCAGGAAGGCUUUUAUCUUCAGCAGAGAACUUUGACGUUCUCGAUGCCGGCUUCCGGCAAGCUGAUUGCCAGGAAGGCUUUUAUCUUUAGCAGAGAACUUCGUCGUUCUCGAUGCCGGCUUCCGGCAAGCUGAUUGCCAGGAAGGCUUUUAUCUUCAGCAGAGAACUUUGACGUUCUCGAUGCCGGCUUCCGGCAAGCUGAUUGCCAGGAAGGCUUUUAUCUUCAGCAGAGAACUUUGACGUUCUCGAUGCCGGCUUCCGGCAAGCUGAUUGCCAGGAAGGCUUUUGGCGAAGAACUUCGUUGUUCUUGACACCGGCUCCCGGCAAGAUCGUUGCCGGAAAGGCUUAUGGCAAAGAACUUCGUUGUUCUUGACACCGGCUCCCGGCAAGAUCGUUGCCGGGAAGGCUUAUGGCGAAGAACUUCGUCGUUCUUGACGCCGAAAAGAUUGGCCCUAAGGGCGUUGCCAGCCCCCGGGCCAUAACUGCGUUCAAACAUAGCAAGUGAUUAGCAUCCGAAGUGCACUCAACUUGCUUGCGAAUUUCGACUUUCGCUGCAUAUUCCCUAUGCCUGCUGGAAUGCUUUCCGGUGCGUACGAUCCAGCCAGUAGCGCUUGAGGGAACGGGCCCUUAGCGGCUAUUCGGGAACAACGCCUCCCGGAAAGGUUUACCUUCUUGGUUCUAGCGCAACCGCACAAGUUGCCGAGCAGACUCGAGGCAAUCAUGGAGCGCAACUAGACCCGAGAAGGCUCCUCGGCAUACAGGUCUAUGCAGAAAUCUCAAAUAAAUAGCGCAUGCUAUCUUCCUGUUCAACCCUUCUUUGUACGUCCACCCUACGCUUUCUAGGGAAACUUGCCGGUGCAGGCACCCUUGCCGCGAGCGCCGAGUGCGGAACUUCAGCAGCCUGCUGGCGGGGUUGCUACCGACAAGUAAUCUUGUCGCAACUAGUUGCAGCUCGCUUAAGUUGUUGAGCGGACUCGAAACAAAGUAAGGGCGCUAGCAGCUCACUUAAGUUGCUGAGCGGACUCGAAGCAAAGUAAGGGCGCUAGCAGCUCGCUUAAGUUGUUGAGCGGACUCGAAACAAAGUAAGGGCGCGACUAGCUACGAGUUGAUUCCUCCGCGCACAGGUUUUUCGUACAAAGAACAAGAUCUCCGAGGCGGAUAACCUUAUAUAGAAAGGAAAUAUCUAAAGUUUCGCAUGACUUAACUUUUUCUGUUGCCGCACUGGCGUCGUUCUUUUGCUCGCCCGCUCCUUGGGAGCCAUGACGAUGAAGAUUUAGCUUGCGUGCAUGCCGGAUCGGGUUUGCACGAUCUCGACGCCCCCUACCUGGCGCGCCAGAGAUGUCGGGGGCGAUGCUGAUUCCCGCCAACACCUAUGGGGACAGGGCCCCUUUUCAGUUCGGUGGGGGGCGGAGAGCGCACAAAGAGCGGAUCGAGGCAGUGCACGCGGGCGAUUUUACCCAGCUUCGGGCCGCACGGAUGCGUAAAACCCUACUGCUGCUUGUUUGUGUAUAUUGGAUUCUUGCUCAGGAGUGAUGGACGCUGCCAGACUGAGCUUGAGAGUGUUCCUGGUGUUGAACGAGCUGAACUGCUCGAGCCUCUGAAUUCUCCGGACCCCCUCUACGUUGCGCCCGUGCCUCCUUUUAUACUUUAAAGGGGUCACCGACAGGUGGCAACGUAGACUAGAAGGGUAAAAAUGGAAAAGGAUGCGGUAGGUGCAGCUACCGCUACUGUGGAUACAAUGCACCCUACCUAACUCUGACGGCAGGGGACAAGGGCAUUAAAUGCCUGUCUGAGUCUCCUAAACAGUGCAAAAGGUGACCGUUAGGAGCGCCACCGUUUGCCACGAUGGGCUUCUCUUCAUCUCCGCUUGCCACCACGUACCCCUAGCUGCACGGCCUCCUGCCACGUGUGCUUGGGAGAGUCCCAGGGCGACACGUUAGCAGGUGUGCUGGAGCGCGGGCACGAAGUGGGGGUUUCCCGCGGCAUGCUCCUUGCCGCGGCCGUCGUCUUGUCGCGUCUGGAAGCUUGUCGCUCGCCGGUUCUUGCCGGGACGCAGGGCACGUCGCGGCAAGCUUUCUUGGUAUGUCUUGAGUGGCCUUCCCGGCAAGCUCCUCUUGCCGGGGUCUUGUCUCUUCCCGGCAAGCUCCUCUUGCCGGGGCCUUGGUUGGCCUUCCCGGCAAUCUCCUCUUGCCGGGGCUUUGAUUUGAAUACUUUGUUCUUGAAUGGUCUUCAAGGGAACCACGGAGGGUCCUGGCGGUAACCCGGCAAGCCUUGCCGCGGGGCGCUGCAACUGCCCGUGCACGAGUUCGGGGUAAUAGGGUACCCCUACUCUAGUACACCGACAUGUUACCAUGGCAAUUUAAUUACAAUCGGCACAAUUUUUCUAAGCGCUCUUUUACCAUGAGAAGAUGUUCACAUGUUAAUUUUUUUGUAUUUGUUUUAUCAUACACAUGGAAAAUUUGUAUACAAAAUUAAUUCAUUAAAUCAUGCCAACUCUAGAUGUCUUCCAAUACUUGUUUGAAUUGGGGGUUAGGAACCGAAGGGAGGGGGUAUUUUAUGCCUAAGUAUUUGUAAGUUUCCCAUGAUCCUGGUCAAGAUGUGUUAAGUGCAAACUUUUUUCAAGUUCUCCUUUAUCUCUAACUCUAUAAAUUAGAUGAUGGCACUUUCAUAUAACAUAACAUGGCAAUGUUUACAAACUAGAGCAUGGCAAGUUGUAAAUUUUUGUUUAUGGAAUUUAAAGAAAAAUAGUUAACCUGGCCUAACCCGUUUUCCCCACACGUUGUUUGGGCCAACCCGAGGCUUCUCUGAAAUCCCACUACAUCGAACUUUCUAGAAAGAGGGAAUGGUUCGCUCAAUGGAAUCUCCCUGUAUGACGUUGGACUAGUAUUGAGAUCCAAAAUUAGUACUUCCUCUUAUAUGAUGGGAUGGAGGGAGUACAUACUCGAAAGUACCCUUAUGAGCUCGAAUGAAUAGUAAAAUUGAAAAAAAAAUCAAACAAUUCUGAAUCUUUUUGUGGUAAACUUUGAGAAAGGUUCAAAGUGUUUGAAAAUUUUCAUCAUGAGAUCACAUUCUUGGAAAGCGUAGCAAAAAAGACAAAAUCAGUGCUCCAAAAUGCUUUUGAAAGUAGCAUUUUUGGAGCAUCAAUUUUUUUGUCACGCUUUUCCACGAAUGUGAUCUCAUGAUGAAAAUUUGCAAGCACUUAGAACAUUUGUCAAAAUUUACAAAAAAAUCAGAAUUUUUUGAAUUUUUUCCGAUUCUACUCUUCAUCCGAACUCAUUUGAGCCCGAGCUCUGAUACUCAGCGUCCGUAAAUACCUUGCCUUUUUAGACAAUAGUACAUACCUUGCUCGCAGCGAAAUUCCACGGACUGAGAAUCAGAGUAAAUAGCAGAAAACUACCCAUAUUACGGUUAGGGUUUAAAAAAACUACUUACUUUUUUUCACAAAUACCUACCAACUAUCUGGCUUCUCCUUUUGGAAAACUCGAAGUAACCAACAAUUUUGUUAACGUCUUUAGCUUUUCCUCCCAUAUCCUUGAUGGCUAAGUCAAACUCUCCCUUCCAACCUUUAACGGAAAGACCAUGAAUUCCCCUCUCCUUUGUUUGCCUCUCUGGCGGCCGGUGGCAGGGAGGGGAAUAUGGUGCCUCCGCUCCUGUAAGUAGUAUAGAUUAAGUUAUUUUUGUCCUUGCAGGUGGAUCGUGCGGGCGGAUGGCGCCGUUUCUUCUUCGAGUUUGUCUCUUGGGCUCCGAUCAUCCUUGAGUUCAUCCAUAUGGACGUAAUCGAUGGAGCUACGAUGUAGAUUAUUGACGUUUCCUUAGUACAAUGAGUUUAGGGUUUCUCGCCGCAUGCGAGAUUUUGAUUUCAGAUGCUGCAAAUAUAUUCAAGGGUUCAACGGCGACGACAAUGGAUGUAGGGCAUUUUUUUAACUAUGGGUCAAGGUUACAGGAGUAGCAGUUACAUUUCUACAAGAGAGGUCAUGAGAGUUUUACCAAGGAAAAAAGAGAGGGAGAAAAGAUAGACACUAGCCUAAAAAAUACAGAAAGAAACAAAAGAAGUUCGAGGGUCACUAGUGGCAGGCCGGACACAAGAUACAGAUCUAGGGCAUUAGUCUUAGGGAAACAUGCACAAAGACUCCCGGGUUUUCAUUGAUAAGAUUAAGCCGGCUCCGGUAGAGGAGCAAUGACAACGACGCGACGGUGGCUUGUUCUAGCGAUGGUAGUGGUUGUUUGAUGGUCUCGGAAUCUCGAUGUAAUUUUAUUAUGUUUGAGGUGUUUUGUUCGUCUGUGAACUUUGAUGGAUCAUUUUCAUAAUAAAAAGUGGUAGGUAUUUGCAAAAAAUUUAAAUUAAGUAGUUUUUUGGAACCUUAAUUGUAAUUGUAGUACUGGUGAUUUUAUGCUAUUUACUCCAUGAGUCAAGGCCCACCCAGUCAAAACUCACAGCGGCCAUAUUUUCUUUUGGGAAAGGACCACUAGCCAACCCGUGGAUUCGCCUCCCCUUUGCCUGCUGCUCUAGUGGCUGGUGGUGCGGAGGGAAAUCCCGGUGCCUUGACUCUGGCUAGUAGUUUAGGUUAGGGUCUGUUAGUCCUCAUAGUGGCAAUGCUUUGGCAGAUGGUGGUGCAUCAUCUUCGAGUUGGUCUUCUAGGCUUUGAUCCUCUUCGAAUUAUUCUAUUAGGAUGGAGUCAACGAAGCUCUAGCAUACAUUUCUGUCAUCUCCUUUGGGCGGUGAGGUUAAGGUUUAUCGCCAUACGCGUGCGACUGAAAUAUUUGGUGUCAGGCACUUCAGAUUAAUUCAAGGAUUAAAGGGUUAAACAAUAAUGACCGUGACUCCAAGGCGCUAGUCCUUAGAGGCAUGUGCACGAGGACUUCCCGGUUGUCAUCGAAAAGGUCAGGUCGGCUCCGGUAUUAGAGUGGCGACGACGGAGCAUCAACCACUCGUUCUGGUAAUGGUAGUGGUUGUUCGGUGGUAUAGGAAUCUUGAUAUAAUUUUUAUUAUGUUUGGGACACUUUGUACUUCAUGUGAACUCUCUUAAUAGAUCAAUGCCUUUAAAAAAAUAAACAAGAGUCUUUUUUUUGUCUUUUUAUAUGAGGAGGAACCAGAGUUGCUCGUAGCCAUCCGCCCACAAACACUUAAUUUUCCAGGGCAUCUCCAACGCCGACCCUCAAGAUGUCUGCAAUAGUUCGGACCGCGUUGUAUCGGUCCACCGAUUGGUUGGGACGUGCUCUUUCCCGCAAACUAGAAACAAACUAAUAAGGGAGGGACUUUGCAGGCGUCCGGACUGCCACCACGCCCUCUUCUAACUGCCUUGGCCCACCCAAAAAAACCUUCGUUGCCGGCGCCUCUAUGCGCCCGAAGGCAGCUGCCCGCACUAAUGCAACUCUAGAGCAGCCGCUCUGCAUUGACACCAACCCAGAGCAGACGUGACCUCUCACUGGCAUUGGCAUUGACGUGGCUCACCAGCCAAGGGCACCGCCCGCGCUGCAUCUCUGAUGUCCACGUCUGUUUAAUGCCAGAAAAGACGUUUACCGGACGGGGCAAGAAGGAUAUCUACCACGGCCGUUCAAUGCCUGUCCCUCCAUCUGCCGCCAUUAAAUAGGCCCGCCGGCCGAGAAACCAACUCUCGUGCUUGCUCAUUGAUGCACCCAGACGCUUGGCCUCAGUGGCAUCCACUAUUUAAGGGCAGACACAAUCGGGUCACAUCACACCACAACCCAUCUGCUACACAUCUUCCUCCCAUGCACCACCUCCGCCAUGACUGCGAGCGAGAAUGCUAUGUGAGAGAGAAUGUCGAUGGAGCAGAAGCAUGAGGUCACCGCCCUUGUGUUCUUCAUGCUGGGCGGAUAGAGGCCGACAUGUCGGCUAACUCUCCGGAGGUCUCCGACAACGACCCCACAAUGAACACUAGCUUUGAUGACGGCUCCAUGUCGGAGCCCGCACCGGUGCAUGUCGGCUUGACGAUGGAGCGGGCACACGCGCACUUCAACGCCGCCAUGGCCGAGGAGCAGCCAGCGUCCGCACCUAUGUCGGUCAAGCGUAGGAGGAACAACGCUACAAUCUGAUCCUCCUCGAGCAGCACCGGCUGGCGAAGGGCCAGAUCAACGACGAGCGUGCGAGCGAGAAGGCCAUGGUCACGGUGAACCUCAACUUUGUCGCUGAGCAACAGACGCUCUACGAGGCCGCCCGUGCUCAAGCCGUCGAUCGCAACAUAUAGGCGACACAGCCGGACGUGGAGGUGGCGCUGGCUGCACAUGCGAUCGCGACGAGAACGAUGCCAUCCGUGCGUCCUACAUGUCGCCAAACAAUGUUUGUCCAUGAUGGUGGGGCAACGAGCAUGUAGGUUCCUCCACUUCCGUCGUGGACCUCAUGUCUGUCAGCGACAGACAGGCUGUGAACUCCGACGAGGAUAAGUAGGGCAUGGGAGGCGGUGGGGCUCAAGUCCCAAAUGGGUCGGUCUGUCUCCCAUGUUCUACUCUUCCUCGCCCGUGAUCGCACAUUCACUUUUACAGCUCAUUCUGUGAGUCCACUAACACUAAACAUAUUCUCGUCGUGGAAGAAUAUAUUUCAGAUUAAAAGUAGGACGCUGAUAUCCACCACACAUGUGGCAUCUAGGGGCUAUGUGUCGCACGCCCCGUGUGGCAUCGACAUAGGCCCGCCCGCACGAGCACGUACGGGCACACCUCGUCACAGCCCGCACGUCUGGUGUACUCGUGGAUCGCCCACAUGUCCAUGCGAGCGACCCCGCGGCAUGCACAACCAAAAUCCGUCUCCCGACUGUCGUCCCUCCCCGCCUACUAGCCAGAGUAGCCACCAUCGGUCAUCUCCAACCUCCGGAUCAGCAAAUCUUCCCCUACCUCCAUCCUCCUCCCUCUCUGAGGGGGUCCUGGAUUCGGGGGUCCUCAGGUGUCCGGCCUAUUCGGUAUGGGUCGGGCUGAUGGGUCGUGAAGACGAAGCAGAAGAUCACCUCCUGUGUCCGGGUAGGACUCCUAUGUGUGUAGGUCGGCAAGUUUGGUGUUCGAGUGUUAUGUUUCCUUCCUCUACAAACCGACUCUGUACAAACCUAGGCCCCUCUGGUGUGUAUAUAAACCGAAGGGUUUAGUCCGUAGAGGCUAUUAGAAUAACACUACAAAAAAUACACUUCUAUGAUGAUAUGUGUUUGUCACAGUAGGUCACGUUUUUUGUCAUGCUUGUACAUCCAUGACGAUUUUAUGACAGAAUCAAGAUAGUCAUACCUGUGCUGUCGUAGAAGUGUUCCAUGACAUUACCAAAAUUAUCAUCAUGGAAAUGUCCACUUCCAUGAUGAUAAAUGACGCGUCAUGGAAGUGCUUUCGUCAAGGGUGACCGACACAUGGCAUCCACCGUAACGGAUAGCUGUUAAGCUAUCGGGUCCGGUUUCGGAUCCGAUAACCCCUUAACAGCCCAGACCAAUGGGUAUUUUCCGCGUGUAAAAUUCUCAUUGGCCGGAGGAAACACAUGUUGGCUCACCGUUGGGAUAGAUGUCAUCCACUCAUUGAACAGGAGGCGCCUAUGAUACGUCGACACGUGGCACGGCCCAACAGUGGCCCAUUCUGGUGAAAAAGGCCGGCCUAGUAAAAAUUAGCAGGCCGGCCCAUAUAAGGCCUACUUGUGUCAAGUCCAUUUAAGCCAACGGCCCAUACGAGAUGUGCCAAUCGGCCUGUCAAUGGCCCGUUAAUGAUUUGACACCAUUGCAGUCCAUCGUCAGUUCGAGCCCGUUAACAACCCGCUAUAUAUUUGGGCUCAGUAUCGUCCAGAUGUGGUUUCGGCUUGUUAACGGCGCAUUCAAGGGAUGGGCCAAUUUUCAGGAUGUAUGUCUUUCGGCCUUUUAGCGAUCCAUUUAAGUGUUGGGCCAAUUUUCGGCCUGUUGUGUCUUUCAGCCUCUUGACGUUCCAUAAAUGAGUUGGGCCAUUUGCAUUCGGACCUGAGUUUUGGCCUUUCAACGGCCCAUGGUCUUCAUGGUCCAAUACCAACCCAUUUUCUCUUUCGGCCUGCUAAAGGCCCACAACACAGUUGGGCCAUAUACAGUACGACCUGACUUUGGGCCUCUUAGCGGCCCAUGCUCUUCAUGGUCCAGUACGAGCUCGUUGUCUCUUUCGGCCUGCUAAAGGCCCACAGUAUAGUUGGGCCAUAUAUAGCAUGACCUUAGUAUCGGCCUAUGCAAUCAAAUGGGCCCACCUGUUUCCUUCUUCGAUGUCGGCUUGUUAAUGACCCGGGAGGUAACAUGGCCGACCAUGAACUUUUGGCCUCGUAACGGCCCAUUAACUUAAUGGCCCACCAAAGUUCGAACAUGUCUGUAUUCCCAAUUAGAUAAUUUGAGUCCAUUAUGACGAGUAAUUAUGCACAUGACCAAAAUCGAUCAAUCAAAGGCCUAUGAGAAUUUUGGCCCCUGCGAGCCCAUUAGGGAAGCUCAUUAAGGGCAGUGGGCUGAUUCCUUCAUAUAGGGCCCAUGACUGUUCGUGCUAACUAAUAAUUUCACUGCUUUUUUAGCUUCCUAGCGACCAUUUAGCUCGAAUGCGAGGCGCGCUAAGCAAAGGUAUGGCAUACAGGGAAAAACGUUGCACAUCCAACAUAUAUUACAGGAAAUUGCAUCCAUUGGGCAAUCAAAGAUUGAUGCCAAUGCAAAUAAAUGAACAUAACCAAAUGACCUACAACGUCACAAUCUGCAACCUCAGCGCGGAUGACGCCCAUAAGCAUGUGGGCAAGUUCUUCCUGCUUUGCUACACUGUCUCUGAAAACAUUGAUCAGUUGUUGUUGCACAAGAAUGUGCACCUCUGAUUCCUCCACCAUUUCCAUCAUUGCUUCAGCCAGUAAUUGGUUCACAAACAUACAUUUUUUUCAUUGAAUUCGAGACAAAGGAAACUGAACAGAUCCAGAUGGCGAUUUUGGCAGCCUUGUAUUAUUGAUAGUGGAGAGUGUCUCGACCACUGCAUCAUAAUAUAAAUUAGGAGGGGAACCGAACAGAUUAAUGAAGAGUUGUUGCCAUAUCACCUGGCCUAGAUUUAUUGGAAAGAAACAAUGGGGUUGCCUUGCUGUUUUUAGAGUUUAUCUUCUUAUCUUUAGCAGCCUGCACCAAAUUAACACACUAGCAUUGCUAUCAUUGGCCAGGUCAGAUAAUAGGAAAGCAACAUUAAUACAACGAAUGUUUGGGCAACCAGACCACACCAGCCUACACCAAAUUAACACACUAUGGCACAACUAUCAUCAGCCAGGUAAGGUAAUAUGAAAGCAACAUUGACACAAUGAAUGAAUGGGCAACCAGAGCAGCACUACAAUUCAAUAAUGUGCAUGAUAUGAGAUAGUACACUCAUGUAGCUCAGUAUGCAAAACUACCAGGAAGUUUUACUUACAAAAAUCAACAUUGUCGCCUUUAAUUAUACAUUUUGCUACAACUAAAUUUAGAUCAGAUAAAGGCUGGAUUCACGCCGGUUAACAAAAUACAUGUUGAUGUAAAAAUAUAGUGAUAUACAACAUGUACUUACAUCAGCAUUGGAGCACGGAGAAUUCCUGCAAGAUACUUUCCUCGAAUACGAUCCCAGUACAUAAAGUCUUCUAUCCUUUAAGCUUACUUUCUAAAAGAGAGAUGGGUAAGAAACAUGUAGAAAAUAUGAUCAGAAUGCUAUAAAAUUUCAUGAUGCGAGGAUACGCACACACUUCUUAGAAUGGAGUUGACAUGUUUUUGCUGGACUGGAGCAGAUUAGUUCUUUGGCCACUAGAAUCUGCUUAUUGUCAGUAGGAGUUGGGUUUCUCUGUGCUGGAGCAGUAUCUAUGAAAACUGGAGUUGGUUUACUAUCUCUGGCAUUUGGAUCUUUUGCAAAGACUUGGUUUGUAACUGAUGUCUACUACACAACCUUCUUCUUGUAGACGUUGUUGGGCCUCCAAGUGCAGAGGUUUGUAGGACAGUAGAAAAUUUCCCUCAAGUGGAUGACCUAAGGUUUAUCAAUCCGUGGGAGGCGUAGGAUGAAGAUGGUCUCUCUCAAACAACCCCGCAACCAAAUAACAAAGAGUCUCUUGUGUCCCCAACACACCGAAUACAAUGGUAAAUUGUAUAGGUGCACUAGUUCGGUGAAGAGAUGGUGAUACAAGUGCAAUAUGGAUGGUAGAUAAAGGUUUUUGUAAUCUGAAAAUAUAAAAUAGCAAGGUAACUAAUGAUAAAAGUGAGUGUAAACAGUAUUGCAAUGCUAGGAAACAAGGCCUAGGGUUCGUACUUUCACUAGUGCAAGUUCUCUCAACAAUAAUAACAUAAUUGGAUCAUAUAACUAUCCCUCAACAUGCAACAAAGAGUCACUCCAAAGUCACUAAUAGCGGAGAACAAACGGAGAGAUUAUGGUAGGGUAUGAAACCACCUCAAAGUUAUUCUUUCCGAUCGAUCUAUUCAAGAGUUCGUACUAGAAUAACACCUUAAGACACAAAUCAACCAAAACCCUAAUGUCACCUAGACACUCCAAUGUCACCUCAAGUAUCCGUGGGUAUGAUUAUACGAUAUGCAUCACACAAUCACAGAUUCAUCUAUUCAACCAACACAAAGAACUUCAAAGAGUGCCCCAAAGUUUCUACCGGAGAGUCAAGACGGAAACGUGUGCCAACCCCUAUGCAUAAGUUCACGAGGUCACGGAACUCGCAAGUUGAUCACCAAAACAUACAUCAAGUGGAUCAUGUGAUAUCCCAUUGUCACCAUAGAUAAGCACAUGCAAGACAUACAUCAAGUGUUCUCAAAUCCUUAAAGACUCAAUCCGAUAAUAUAACGUCAAAGGGAAAACUCAAUUCAUCACAAGAGAGUAGAGGGGGAGAAACAUCAUAAGAUCCAAAUAUAACAGCAAAGCUCGCGAUACAUCAAGAUCGUGCCGACUCAAGAACACGAGAGAGAGAGAGAGAGAGAGAGAGAGAUCAAGCACAUAGCUAUUGGUACAUACCCUCAGCCCCGAGGGUGAACUACUCCCUCCUCGUCAUGGAGAGCGCCGGGAUGAUGAAGAUGGCCAUUGGAGAGGGAUUCCCCCUCCGACGGGGUGCCGGAACGGGUCUAGAUUGGUUUUCGAUGGCUACGGAGGCUUGUGGCGGCGGAACUCCCGAUCUAGGUUUCUUUCUGGAAGUUUUGGGUUGUAUAAGAGGUGUUAGAGUCGGGAACAAGGCAGGGGGCGCGCCUAGGGGGUGGGCGCGCCCCCCACCCUCAUGGGUAGCCCGGGACUCUUCUGGCCCAACUUUUUUUUACUUCGUAUUCUUCUUCUGGUCCAAAAAUAAGUUUCGUGAAGUUUCAGUUCAAUUGGACUCCGUUUGGUUUUCCUUUUCUGUGAUACUCAAAAACAACGAAAAAACAGAAACUGGCACUGGGCUCUAGGUGAAUAGGUUAGUCCCAAAAAUCAUAUAAAAUAGCAUAUAAAUGCAUAUAAAACAUCCAAGUUUGAUAAUAUAAUAGUAUGGAACAAUAAAAAAUUAUAGAUACAUUGGAGACGUAUCAAGCAUCCCCAAGCUUAAUUCCUGCUCGUCCUCUAGUAGGUAAAUGAUAAAAACAGAAUUUUUGAUGUGGAAUGCUACCUAACAUAUUUAUCAAUGUAAUCUUCUUUAUUGUGGCAAGAAUAUUCAGAUCCAUAAGAUUCAAGACAAAAGUUUAAUAUUGACAUAAAAAUAAUAAUACUUCAAGCAUACUAACUAAGCAAUUAUGUCUUCUCAAAAUAACAUGGCCAAAGAAAGCUUAUCCCUACAAAAUCAUAUAGUUUGGCUAUGCUUCAUUUUCGUCACACAAAAAUGCUCUCAUCAUGUACAACCCCGAUGACAAGCCAAGCAAUUGUUUCAUACUUUAGUAAUCUCAAACUUUUUUCAACUUUCACGCAAUACAUGAGCGCGAGCCAUGGAUAUAGCACUAUGGGUGGAAUAUAAUAUAAUGAUGGGGGUUGUGUGGAGAAGACAAAAAGGAGAAAGUAUCACAUUGACGCGGCUAAUCAACGGGCUAGGGAGACACCCAUCAAUUGAUGUCAAUGCAAGGAGUAGGGAUUGCCAUGCAACGGAUGCACUAGAGCUAUAAAUGUAUGAAAGCUCAACAAAAGAAACUAAGUGGGUGUGCAUCCAACUUGCUUGCUCACGAAGACCUAGGGCAUUUGAGGAAGCCCAUUGUUGGAAUAUACAAGCCAAGUUCUAUAAUGAAAAAUUCCCACUUAAUAUAUGAAAGUGACGACAUAAGAGACUUUCUAUCAUAAAGAUCAUGGUGCUACUUUGAAGCACAAGUGUGGAAAAAGAGGAUAGUAGCAUUGUCCCUUUUUAUUUUGUCGGAGUAAUUGGACACGGAUACCCCGAAGACGGCGAGACAAUAAAUCAAGACAUCAGGGCUAGCAAAGCCCCUCAGUCCGACUGCCCGGCCGCUCCUGCCGGCUCCCUGUCCGACUGCUCUGCCCGGCCGGCUACCGGCUGCCGACUGCGCCAACCAGCCGGCUGCCGACUACAGCCUGACGUGACCCUGACAGGACGGCCAUACCGCGGACAAGACAUCUAUACCGCGACGCCAUCAUCUACAGUGUACCUGUCCCCUUGGCACUAUUCUAUAAAGUGCCUAGAGGACAAGCUUGACAUGCACCAUGCCCCAUGCAUGGCUUGGCUUGUAAGCUACCCAAGGUAGCUUACAACCAACGUCAUGUCCCAUGCCCAGUACACACUAUAUAUAGCUAGCUCCAUCCAUCCAUCAGAGGAUGGACUCACACACUCACGCAUACACACAAGCUAGCUAGCUAGCAAGAGAGCUAGCUAGCAAUCCAUCCAUCCACUCCUACGGGCAAGCAUGCCCAAGCACACCUAUUCGGCCAAGAGCAACGGCCACCAUGCCACAUGCAUAUACGAGGCCAGAUGCCUAUGGCACUGACCUCAGAUACAACUCCAGGAGCAUUCUGUACCAGAUAUAUCACAUAUACUCAGACAUGCAGGAGUAGGGGUGUUAUCUCUCCGGAGAGCCCCGAACCUGGGUAAACUAGCGCGUGAUACUCGCAUACCCGUCCCUGGAUAUUCCGGCAGCAGUCUUGCCCUCACACGAAGCCACCUUGUGGCAUAUGUCGUCUUGCACCCCCCGUGAGAAUACCACGACAUUUGGCGCCCACCGUGGGGCGGUACUAUGCUACCGCGCUGCUGCUGGUUUCGCAGUCCGGGCGGGACCAUCUUCGUCAUCACCGCGGCAUCGCCGUUGUCUCUCCGGUAGCACUCGGGGGCCCGACAUCGACGCGCCCUCGGAGCGGCCGCGAGGGGCGGCACGUCCUCGCCAUCGGCCUCUUCAUCAUCACCACCGCAACGCCGGCCGUCCGUGCCUCGCUUCGGUCGGCCGCAUCCGUGCACGCGUCGUGCCGCGUCGCUCGCGUCUGCUCCUCUGUGCAUUGUGCCUUGCUCCGGCCGAAAAGCGCGUUUGCCACUCCAUAUAUCAUCCAUACAAGCUAGCUAGAUGCAAGUCAAACUGUGAUCAAAUGUUAGCCAUACACUGGUUAUACAUGCCUCGUACGCUUCCUGUACCAUGGCCAUGCGCCACCAAAACCAUGCCCAGAUAUUCCCCAGAUAAUAGUCACAUAAUCCCCAUAUAAUCCACUGCUUGUACACUGACCGGAUACUAGUCAGAUAUCCAUCAGAGAACGCCCAGACUAUAGCGCUGCUCGUUGCUCCUGCCACCCCGCGUGCCUGGCUCAUCGUCCUCGCGCGGCUCCGGCCUCCUCCGCGUUCGGCCUGCCCGACCCGCGCUGUGCCCUGCAUCCGGCUCCGCGCCUCCGUCAUGGCUGCGCCGGCUCGCCUGGCCAUCCACUCAGUCUCCACGUGCCUGCCCGGGUCGCCACUGUGGCCACCCGCGCACCGGCUCCGUCUCCCACGUGGACCGGGUCGCCCCUGUCGUGUCCCGCGCCGGCCGGGUCCUCUGCUGCCGGGUCCGACUCCUCCCGCGUCUGCGCCGUCUAGCGCUGGGUCUGGCUCCGCGCCCGCCUUGCCACUCGUCGGCUCGCCUCCCGCCGCCUCCGUCUGCAGCGCCGGGUUCGGCCCCGUCCGCUGGAGUCCUCCGACCCGGCCGCGCCGGCUUCCUCGCAACCCGGCCUGCCGGCUUCGCCCCGAGCCGGCUUCCUACCCACUCGGCACGCCGGCUCCACCCGCAUCGGCUACCCGGCCGGCCUUGCCGCCUGCCAUCUUCCCAGCGACCCGACCGCUUGCCGGCUCUGCCCGCAACCCGGCGACCCGUCCGCGCCGACUUCCUCGCAACCCAGCCUGCGGGCUUCUGCUGUGCCUCGGCCGCUGGCUUCCCCGCAACCCGGUGCCGGCUUCUGCCGCGCCCCGGCUAUCGGUUUCAGCCGCGUCCCGCUCCUGCCUGCUGCUCAUGCAAAGAAAGAAAGAAAAAGAGAGAAGGGGCCGGCUGGAAAGAGUUUCCGGGUUUAAAAAAAAGGAAGAAGAGCUGUGUCUGACUGCUCAAGGUCGGCUGGCAAAAAAAAAUGGAGUGAGAUGCCGGCAGGAAAGAAGCAAAGGCCGAGUGCCUAGCCGACUAAGAGAAAGAAAAGAGUGGCCGGUUGGAUAUAAAAAAAGAGAAAAAAAGGGAAAGAUCUGACUGCGCAGACUGCUGCCCAGCCGACUGCUUUGUUUGACCGACCGCGUCACCGCUCGGCUGGCCGGUUCAUCUGCCUGUUUCGCUGCCUGGCCGACUGAUGAGCCGAUCCGGCUACGCACAGCCGGCUGACGAGGAGAAGAGAAGAACAAAGUAGUCGCCGGGAGAUCCGGCCCGACUGCUCGGCAGUCGGUCCAAAUCUCGGGGGCUACACCUAGCGGGUGCGCCGACGCGUAGCCGCGCCGGCUGUCUUCGACGACCUCUGCCGCGACUACACGAAAAUCUAUGUGAGCUCCUCACCCGCAUAUUUUUGCAUCACGCAAGCACGGUUAACCCCGAACGAUGCUCGGGGGGCUAUCUCCGCAUUUUUAUUACAGUUGCACCACUGUUCGCCCCGGUGCCAGCCAGAGUUGGCCCGGGGCUGACCGCUUGGCCUAAGAUGUUUUUCCCGCAGACGGCUUAGUAGCGUGUGGAGUACCAAAGGCCAACCUCUCAGCCACAGACCGCAGAGCGGCUGUCCGGCUAGCGAGAGCAAAAGCUGGAGGUCAUCCCACGUGAAAAAACGUCGGGGAAGAGAAACGCUUCGGGGGACCCAACCGUUUCCUUUAUGAGUAUCUGCUCGGUUAAAUCCACUCCCAGAGUCCGAGUACUGUACACUCCACUUUGCGGCCCACUCUCAGCCACAGACCGCAGAGCGGCUGUCCGGCGAGCAGGAGCACAAGCCAAAAAGCGGAGGGAACACGAAAAAGAUUAAGGGGGCUCGAACGAAACCGAGUCGGCACCCUCCGCAUAAAACUUGCAAUGCUAAAAGCAAACAUUAGAUAUAUCUGCGUUGACUAACUUUGUCUUUUUUAUGAUCAUUUCCAUGAACACUCGCCAAAAAACCUCCGCCCAACUUUGCCAAGUUGCCCGGAGGCUUGGGGGCUACUGUCGGAGUAAUUGGACACGGAUACCCCGAAGACGGCGAGAUAAUAAAUCAAGACAUCGGGGCUAGCAAAGCCCCUCAGUCCGACUGCCCGGCCGCUCCUGCCGGCUCCCCGUCCGACUGCUCUACCCGGCCGGCUACCGACUGCAGCCUGACGCGACCCCGACAGGACGGCCAUACCGCGGACGAGACAGCUGUACCGCGAUGCCAUCAUCUACAGUGUACCUGUCCCCGUGGCACUAUUAUACAAAGUGCCUAGGGGACAAGCUUGACAUGCACCAUGCCCCAUGCAUGGCUUGGCUUGUAAGCUACCCAAGGUAGCUUACAACCAACGCCAUGUCCCAUGCCCAGUACACACUAUAUAUAGCUAGCUCCAUCCAUCCAUCAGAGGAUGGACUCACACACUCACGCACACACACACAAGCUAGCUAGCUAGCAAGAGAGCUAGCUAGCAAUCCAUCCAUCCACUCCUACGGGCAAGCAUGCCCAAGCACACCCAUUCGGCCAAGAGCAAUGGCCACCAUGCCACAUGCAUAUACGAGGCCAGAUGCCUAUGGCACUGACCUCAGAUACAACUCCAGGAGCACUCUGUACCAGAUAUACCACAUAUACUCAGACAUGCAGGAGUAGGGGUGUUAUCUCUCCGGAGAGCCCCAAACCUGGGUAAACUAGCGCGUGAUACUCGCAUACCCGUCCCUAGAUAUUCCGGCAGCAGUCUUGCCCUCACACGAAGCCACCUUGUGGCAUAUGUCGUCUUGCACCCCCCGUGAGAAUACCACGACAUAUUUAUUAUUAUUUUUUUGGGCCUUCUUUUUUUAUUUGGCCUUUCUAUUUUUUGGGACAAUGCUCUAUUAAUGAUGAUCAUCACACUUCUAUCUAUUUACAACUCAAUGAUUACAACUCGAUACUAGAACAAGAUAUGACUCUAUAUGAAUGCUUCGGGCGGUGUACCGGGAUAUGCAAUGACUCAUGAGUGACAUGUAUGCAAUAAUUAUGAACGGUGUCUUUGCCACAAAUACGAUGUCCACUACAUGAUCAUGCAAGGCAAUAUGACAAUGAUGAUGUGUGUCAUAAUAAAUGGAACGGUGAAAAGUUGCAUGGCAAUAUAUCUCAGAAUGGCUAUGGAAAUGCCAUAAUAGGUAGGUACGGUGGCUGUUUUGAGGAAGAUAUAAGGAGGUUUAUGUGUGAUAGAGCGUAUCGUAUCACGGGAUUUGGAUGCACCGGCGAAGUUUGCACCAACUCUCAAGGUGAGAAAGGGCAAUGCACGGUACCGAAGAGGCUAGCAAUGAUGGAAGGGUGAGAGUGCGUAUAAUCCAUGGACUCAACAUUAGUCAUAAAGAACUCACAUACUUACUACAAAAAUCUACAAGUCAUCAAAAACCAAUUAUUAUGUGCAUGCUCCUAGGGGGAUAGAUUGGUAGGAAAAGACCAUCGCUGGUCCCCGACCGCCACUCAUAAGGAAGACAAUCAAAUAACACCUCAUGUUUCAAAUUUGUUACACAACAGUUACCAUACGUGCAUGCUACGUGACUUGCAAACCUCAACACAAGUAUUUAUCAAUUUCACAAUUACUCAACUAGCACGACUCUAAUAUCACCGUCUUUAUAUCUCAAAACAAUUAUCAAGUAUCAAACUUCUCAUAUUAUUCAAUGCACUUUAUAUGAAAGUUUUUAUUAUAUCACUCUUGGAUGCCUAUCAUAUUAGGACUAGUUUCAUAACCAAAGCAAACUACCAUGAUGUUCUAAAGACUCUCAAAAUAAUAUAAGUGAAGCACGACAGUUCAUCUAUUUCUUCAAAAUAAAACCACUGCCGUGCUCUAAAAAAAUAUAAGUGAAGCACUAGAGCAAAAGACAAACUACUCCGAAAGAUAUAAGUGAAGAUCAAUGAGUAGUCGAAUAAUUAUGCAACUAUGUGAAGACUCUCUAACUUUUAAUUAUUUAAGAUCUUGGUAUUUUAUUCAAACAACAAGCAAAACAAAAGAAAAUAAAAUGAUGCUCCAAGCAAAACACAUAUCAUGUGGUGAAAAAAAUAUAGCUCCAAGUAAAGUUACCGAUGAACGAAGACGAAAGAGGGGAUGCCUUCCGGGGCAUCCCCAAGCUUAGGCUCUUGGUUGUCCUUGAAUAUUACCUUGGGGUUCCUUGGGCAUCCCCAAUCUUAGGCUCUUGCUACUCCUUAUUCCAUAGUCCAUCGAAUCUUUACCCAAAACAUGAAAACUUCACAACACAAAACUUAACAGAAAACUCGUAAGCUCCGUUGGUAUAAGAAAAUAAAUCACCACUUAGGUACUGUUGUGAACUCAUUCUAAAUUAAUAUUGGUGUAAUAUCUACUGUAUUCCAACUUAUCUAUGGUUCAUACCCUCCGAUACUACUCAUAGAUUUAUCAAAAUAAGCAAACAACACAAUGAAAACAGAAUCUGUCAAAAAUAGAACAGUCUGUAGUACUCUGGAUCAAACGUAUACUUCUGGAACCCCAAAAAUUCUAAAAUAAAUUUCUGGACGUGAGGAAUUUAUCUAUUAAUCAUUUUCAAAAAUAAUUAGAUAAAUAGCACUCUCCAAUAAAAAAUGGCAGCAAUUCUCGUGAGCACUAAAGUUUCUGUUUUUUAUAGCAAGAUCAAAAAGACUUUCCCCAAGUCUUCCCAACGGUUCUACUUGGCACAAACACUAAUUAAACACAAAAACACAACCAGAACAGAGGUUAGAUAAAUUAUUUAUUACUAUGCAGGAGCAAAAAGCAAAGAACAAAAAUAAAAUUGGGUUGCCUCCCAACAAGCGCUAUCGUUUAACGCCCCUAGCUAGGCAUGAUGAUUACGAUGAUGCUCACAUAAAGGAUAAGAAUUGAAACAUAAAGAGAGAAUCAUGAAGAAUAUGACUAGCACAUUUAAGUCUAACCCACUUCCUAUGCAUAGGUAUUUUGUGAACAAACAACUUAUGGGAACAAUAAUCAACUAGCAUAGGAAGGCAAAACAAGCAUAACUUUAAAACUUUAUGCACAUAGAGAGGAGACUUGAUAUUAUUGCAAUCCCUACAAGAAUAUGUUACUCCCUCAUAAUAAUUUUCAGUAGCAUCAUGAAUUAAUUCAACAAUAUAACCAUCACAUAAAGCAUUCUUUUCAUGAUCUACAAGCAUAUAAAAUUUACUACUCACCACAUAAGCAAAAUUCUUCUAAUUCAUAAUAGUGGGAGUAUCAUAAGAAACUCGAAUACUAUAAAUUGUUUCCACAUUAAAAGACUAAUGUUCAGAAAAAGGGUGAUCAUAAUCAUGACAAGUUUUAUAAAUAUAAUCAUCACUACUUUUUAUAGCAUAAGUGUCAUCACAAUAAUCAUCAUAAGUAGCAACUUUGUUCUCAUCAUAAUCAAUUGAAACCUCUUCCAAGAUAGUGGAAUCAUUACUAAAUAAAGUCAUGAACUCUCCAAACCCACUUUCAUAAUUAUCACAAUAAGAUUCAACACCCUCCAAAAUAGUGGGAUCAUUACUUCCUAAAGUUGACACUCUUCCAAACCCACUUUCAUCAAUAUAACCAUCAUACAUAAGAGGCAUGCUAUCAUCAUAAUAAAUUUUCUCAUAAAAACUUGGGAGACUAAAAAUAUCAUCUUCAUCAAACAUAGCAUCCCCAAGCUUGGGACUUUUCAUAUCAUAAGCAUAAUCACUCUCAUCAUUAAUAGUAUGGAUAGCACCAAUAGUAUAACAAUUAUCAUCAUCACAAUGAGUAAUAGGAGCAACAUUAUUUGGCAAGGAUACAUUUUUACCUUUGCUUCUCCGUCUUUUCUUUUUAUUCUUCACAUCAUGUGUGGGUUUUAUCCUCUUUUCGGAGCUCCUUAAUAAUGAUAUUGGUUGAAUAGGAGGCUCCUCCUCGUUACCUGAUUCAUCAUAAGAAAUAAUAGGAGAAUAUUGGGAAGUCUCUUUCCUUUCAUUAUUAUUCUUUUCAUCUUCUAUUUGUUUUCUUGUCUUUAUGUAAUUGGCAAUAUAAGGAUUUUCAAUGCAAUUCACCGCACAAUACAUACAAAUUUCUUCUAGAUCAAAAUCAAGAAAUCUAUCAAGAUUAAAUUUUGGAAUACCCUCAGUUAUAUGUUUCAUUUCUUCAUACCCCAAAAGAAGACUAAGCUCUUUAUGAUGCUCAAGGGUAAUCAAGUUAUCACAAUUUUUGGACAUGAUUUGAUCAUGAAACAAAUAGCAUUGGAGCUUUAAAUGACCAUGUUCAUUGCAAAGUUCACAAGGAUGGCAAUAAAUAUUGAAUCUUUCAGCAAAAUCAUCUAGCCUUUCUUGGAACCAUUUAGUUUCCAAAUACUUAUGCCUCUUGCAAAAUCUAUCUUCCCUAUUUGGUGUGUACUUGCAAGCUCUAUGUCCACAAAAGUUGACAUGCUUAUAAGAGCCAUUUUCAUCAUGACUAGUGCAAUCAUCAUUAGUACUAUGGAUAUUCAAAGAAUUCAUACUAACAACAUUGCAAUCAUGCUCAUCACAAUUUUUAGUGCCAAACAUUUUAAUGCAUUCUUCUUCUAGAAUUUUGGCACAAUUAUCGGAAUCCUUAUUUUCAUAAAAGACAUUAAAAAGAUGAAGCAUAUGAGGUACCCUCAAUUCCAUUUUUUGUGAUUUUAUUUGAUAGACUAAACUAGUGAUAAAACAAGAAACAAAAAGAUUCGAUUGCAAGUUCUAAAGAUAUACCUUCAAGCGCUAACCUCCCCGGCAACGGCACCAGAAAAUAGCUUGAUUUCUACUACACAACCUUCUUCUUGUAGACGUUGUUGGGCCUCCAAGUGCAGAGGUUUGUAGGACAGUAGAAAAUUUCCCUCAAGUGGAUGACCUAAGGUUUAUCAAUCCAUGGGAGGCGUAGGAUAAAGAUGGUCUCUCUCAAACAAACCUGCAACCAAAUACCAAAGAGUCUCUUGUGUCCCCAACACACCCAAUACAAUGGUAAAUUGUAUAGGUGCACUAGUUCGGCAAAGAAAUGGUGAUACAAGUGCAAUAUGGAUGGUAGAUAAAGGUUUUUGUAAUAUGAAAAUAUAAAAACAGCAAGGUAACUAAUGAUAAAAGUGAGCGUAAACGGUAUUGCAAUGCUAGGAAACAAGGCCUAGGGUUCAUACUUUCACUAGUGCAAGUUCUCUCAACAAUAAUAACAUAAUUGGAUCAUAUAACUAUCCCUCAACAUGCAACAAAGAGUCACUCCAAAGUCACUAAUAGCGGAGAACAAACGAAGAGAUUAUGUUAGGGUAUAAAACCACCUCAAAGUUAUUCUUUCUGAUCGAUCUAUUCAAGAGUUCGUACUAGAAUAACAUCUUAAGACACAAACCAACCAAAACCCUAAUGUCACCUCAAGUAUCCAUGGGUAUGUUUAUAUGAUAUGCAUCACACAAUCUCAGAUUCAUCUAUUCAACCAACAAAAAGAACUUCAAAGAGUGCCCCAAAGUUUCUACCGGAGAGUCAAGACGAAAACGUGUGCCAACCCCUAUGCAUAAGUUCACAAGGUCGCGUAACUCGCAAGUUGAUCACCGAAACAUACAUCAAGUGGAUCACGUGGUAUCCCAUUGUCACCACAGAUAAGCACAUGCAAGACAUACAUCAAGUGUUCUCAAAUCCUUAAAGACUCAAUCCGAUAAGAUAACAUCAAAGGGAAACCUCAAUUCAUCACAAGAGAGUAGAGGGGGAGAAACAUCAUAAGAUCCAAAUACAAUAACAAAGCUCGCGAUACAUCAAGAUCGUGCCGACUCAAGAACACGAGAGAGAGAGAGAUCAGGCACAUACCUACUGGGACAUACCCUUAGCCCCGAGGGUGAACUACUCCCUCCUCGUCAUGGAGAGCGCCGGGAUGAUGAAGAUGGCCACCGGAGAGGCAUUCCCCCCUCCGGCAGGGUGCCGGAGCGGGUCUAGAUUGGUUUUCGGUGGCUACGGAGGCUUCUGGAGGCGGAACUCUCGAUCUAGGUUUCUUUCUGGAAGUUUUGGGUUAUAUAAGAGGUGUUGGAGUCGGGAACAAGGCUGGGGGGGUAUCCGGGCUGUCCACGAGGUAGGGGGCAUGCCCAGGGGGCGUGGGCGCUCUUUUACUCCGUAUCCUUCUUCUGGUCCAAAAAUAAGUUUCGUGAAGUUUCAGGUCAAUUGGACUCCGUUUGGUAUUCCUUUUCUGCGAUACUCUGAUACGCCCAUUUUGCAUCAUCCUUUUAUAUCGAUAUUUAUUGCAUUAUGGGCUAUUAUUACACAUUAUGUCACAAUACAUAUGCCUAUUCUCUCUUAUUUUACAAGGUUUACAUAAAGAGGGAGAAUGCCUGCAGCUGGGAUUCUGGGCUGGAAAAGGAGCAAAUAUUAGAGACCUAUUCUGCACAGCUCGAAAAGUCCUAAAACUUCACAGAAGAUGUUUUCCAAAUAUAUAAAAAAAUACUGAGAGCAAGAACUUCACCAGGGGGGCCACACCCUACCCACGAGGGUGGGGGGCGCGCCCUACCCCCUACCUCGUGGCCCCCCUGGUGGCCCUCCGGUGGCCAUCUUUUGCUAUAUGGAGUCUUUCAAUGGGAAAAAAAUCAUAAGCCAUCUUCUCGGACGAAACUCCGCCGCCACGAGGCGGAACCUUGGCGGAACCAAUCUAGGGCUCUGGCGGAGCUGUUCUGCCGGGGAAACUUCCCUCCCGGAGGGGGAAAUAAUCGCCAUCGUCAUCACCAACGCUCCUCUCAUCGGGAGAGGACAAUCUCCAUCUCAUCUCAAAACCCUAUUUCAUCUCUUGUAUCCAAUUCUUGUCUCCAAGUCCGGGAUUGGUGCUAGUAGGUUGCUAGUAGUGUUAAUUACUCCUUGUAGUUGAUGCUAGUUGGUUUAAUUGGUGGAAGAUCAUAUGUUCAGAUCCUAUAUGCAUAUUAAUACCCCUCUGAUUAUGAACAUGUGUAUGCUUUGUGAGUAGUUACUUUUGUUCCUGAGGACAUGGGAGAAGUUUUGCUAUUAGUAGUCAUGUGAAUUUGGUGUUCGUUCGAUAUUUUGAUGAGAUGUAUGUUGUCUCUCCUCUAGUGGUGUUAUGUGAACGUUGACUACAUGACACUUCACCAUUAUUUGGGCCUAGAGGAAGGCAUUGGGAAGUAAUAAGUAGAUGAUGGGUUGCUAGAGUAACAGAAGUUUAAACCCUAGUUUAUGCGUUGCUUCGUAAGGGGCUGAUUUGGAUCCAUACGUUUCAUGCUAUGGUUAGGUUUACCUUAAUACUUUUGUUGUAGUUGCGGAUGCUUGCAAUAGAGGUUAAUCAUAAGUGGGAUGUUUGUCCAAGUAAGGGCAGCACCCAAGCACCGGUCCACCCACAUACCAAAUUAUCAAAUUACCGAACGCGAAUCAUAUGAACGUGAUGAAAACUAGCUUGACGAUAUUCCCAUGUGUCCUCGGGAGCGUUUUACAUCAUAUAAGAGUUUGUCCAGGCUUGUCCUUUGCUACAAAAGGAUUGGGACACCUUGCCGCACUUUAUUUACUUUUGUUACUUGUUGCUCGUUACAAAUUAUCGUAUCACAAAACUAUCUGUUACCACUUAUUUCAGUAGUUGCAGAGAAUACCUUGCUGGAAACCGCUUAUCAUUUCCUUCUGCUCCUCGUUGGGUUCGACACUCUUACUUAUCAAAAGUACUACGAUAGAUCCCCUAUACUUGUGGGUCAUCAAGACUCUUUUCUGGCGCCUUUGCCGGGGAGUGAAGCGCCUUUGGUAGGUGGAAUUUGGUAAGGAAAAAUUUAUAUAGUGUGCUGAAAUUUACUGUCACUUGUCACCAUGGAAAGUAAUCCUCUGAGGUGCUUGUUCGGUGUAUCUUCACCCCGACCAGUAGAGCAAAAAGUUGCUCCUCAACCUACUGAACCUACUGAAAAUGAAAAUGAAAAUGCUUGCUUUGAAGUUCCUGCGGGUAUGAUAGAAAAACUGCUAGCUAAUCCUUUUUUAGGAGAUGGAACAAAACAUCAUGAUGAACAUCUGAUAUAUGUGGAUGAAGUUUGUGGAUUAUUUAAGCUUGCAGGUGUACCCGGAGAUGUUAUUAAGAAGAAGGUCUUCCCUUUAUCUUUGAGGGGAGAUGCAUCGACAUGGUAUAGGCUAUGUGAUGAUAUGAGGUCUUGGAAUUACAAACAAUUGAAAUUGGAAUUUCAUCAGAAGUUUUACCCUAUGCAUCUUGUUCAUCGUGAUCGCAAUUACAUAUAUAAUUCUUGGCCUCGCGAAGGAGAAAGCAUCGCUCAAGCUUGGGGGAGGCUUAAAUCAAUGUUAUAUUCAUGCCCCAAUCAUGAGCUCUCAAGAGAAAUAAUUAUUCAAAAUUUUUAUGCUCGGCUUUCUGGUAACAAUCGCACCAUGCUUGAUACUUCUUGUGCUGGCUCUUUUAUGAUGAAGACUAUUGAAUUCAAAUGGGAUUUAUUGGAAAGAAUUAAACGCAACUAUGAAGAUUGGGACCUCGACAAUGGUAAGGAGUCAGGUAUGACACCUAGUUUUGAUUGUGUUAAAUCUUUUAUGGAUACCGAUAUUUUUCGUAAAUUUAGCACUAAAUAUGGACUUGACUCUGAGAUAGUAGCUUCUUUCUGUGAAUCUUUUGCUGCGUAUGUUGAUCUCCCCAAGGAGAAGUGGUUUAAAUAUCAUCCUCCCAUAGAAGUAAAAGUAGCUGCACCUAUUAAAGUUGAAGAAAAGACUAUCACUUAAAAUGAUCCUAUUGUUCCUACUUAUGUUGAGAAACCACCUUUCCCUGUUAGGAUAAAGGAUCAUGCUAAAGCUUCAACUGUAGUUCGUAAAAGCAAUAUUAAAACAUAUACACCUCUUGAGCAAGUUAAAGUUGAACCUAAUAUUGCUAUUGUUAAAGAUCUCUUGUCUGAUAAUAUUGAUGGGCAUGUUAUUUAUUUUUGUGAUGAAACUUCUAGAAUUGCUAAACCCCGUGAUAAAGAUAAACCUAGACCUGUGGUAGGCAUGCAUGUUAUUUCUGUUAAAAUAGGAGAUCAUUGUUAUCAUGGAUUAUGUGAUCUGUAUGCUAGUGCUAGCGCAAUACCUCAUUCCUUAUACAAAGAAAUUAUGCAUGAGAUUGCACCUGUUGAAAUAGAAGAUAUUGAUGUCACAAUUAAACUUGCCAAUAGAGAUACUAUUUCGCCAAUGGGAAUUGUUUGAGAUGUUGAAGUCUUGUGUGGGAAAACCAAAUAUCCUGCUGAUUUUCUUGUUCUUGGUUCCCCACAAGAUAGCUUUUGUUCCAUUAUAUUUGGUAGACCCUUCUUAAAUACUGUUAAUGCCACCAUAGAUUGCAAAAGGGAUGUUGUUACUAUCGGUUUAGAUGAUAUGACUCAUGAAUUUAAUUUUUCUAAAUUUAGUAGACAACACCGUGAAGAAAAAUUACCUAGUAAGGAUGAAAUUAUUGGUCUUGCUUCUAUUGCCGUACCUCCUAGUGAUCCUUUAGAACAAUAUUUGCUAAACCAUGAAAAUGACAUGUUUAUGAAUGAAAGAAGGGAAUUAGAUCAAGUAUUCUUUAAAUAGGAACCUAUUCUGAAAAACAAUUUACCUGUAGAAAUCCUAGGGGAUCCUCCUCCACCCAAGGGUGAUCCCGUUUUGAGCUUAAACCGUUACCUGAUACUCUUAAAUAUGCUUAUCUUGAUGAGAAAAAGAUAUAUCCUAUUAUUAUUAGUGCUAACCUUCCAGAGCAUAAGGAAGAGAGAUUAUUGAAAACUCUGAAGAAGCACCAUGCUGCUAUUGGGUAUACUCUUGAUGAUCUUAAGGGCAUUAGUCCCACACUAUGUCAACAUAAACUUAAUUUGGAAGAAGAUGCUAAACCAGUUCAUGAUCAUCAACGCCGGCUGAAUCCUAAAAUGAAAGAAGUGGUAAGAAAGGAGAUACUAAAGCUCCUUGAGGCAGGUAUAAUUUAUCCCGUUGCUGAUAGUAAGUGGGUAAGCCAUGUCCAUUGUGUCCCUAAGAAGGGAGGUAUUACUGUUGUUCCUAAUGAUAAAGAUGAAUUGAUUCCUCAAAGAAUUAUUAUAGGUUAUAGGAUGGUAAUUGAUUUCCGCAAAUUAAAUAAGGCUACUAAAAAAGAUCAUUACCCCUUACCUUUAUCGAUCAAAUGCUAGAAAGAUUGUCCAAACAUACACAUUUUUGCUUUCUAGAUGGUUAUUCUGGUUACUCUAAAUACCUGUGUCAGCCAAACAUCAAUCAAAGACUACUUUUACAUGCCCUUUUGGUAAUUUUGCUUAUAGACGUAUGCCUUUUGGUUUAUGAAAUGCACCUGCUACCUUUCAAAGAUGCAUGAUGGCUAUAUUCUCUGACUUUUGUGAAAAGAUUUGUGAGGUUUUCAUGGACGACUUUUCCGUCUAUGGAUCUUCUUUUGAUGAUUGCUUGAGCAACCUUGAUCAAGUUUUGCAGAGAUGUGAAGAAACUAAUCUUGUCUUGAAUUGGGAAAAGUGCCACUUUAUGGUUAUUGAAGGUAUUGUCUUGGGGCAUAAAGUUUCUGAAAGAGGUAUUGAAGUUUAUAAAGCCAAGGUUGAUGCUAUUGAAAAGAUGCCAUGUCCCAAGGACAUCAAAGGUAUAAGAAGUUUCCUUGGUCAUGCUGGUUUUUAUAGGAGGUUCAUUAAGGACUUCUCAAAAAUCUCUCGGCCUGUGACUAAUUUAUUACAAAAAGAUAUACCAUUUGUCUUUGAUGAUGAUUGCGUAGAAGCAUUUGAAAUAUUUAAAAAAGCAUUGAUUUCUGCACCUAUUGUUCAACCACCUGAUUGGAAUUUACCCUUUGAAAUUAUGUGUGAUGCUAGUUAUUAUGCUGUAGGUGCUGUUCUAGGACAAAGAGUUGAUAAGAAACUAAAUGGUAUUCAAUAUGCUAGUAAAACUCUAGACAAUGCUCAAAGAAAUUAUGCUACCACUGAAAAAGAAUUCUUAGCAGUUGUAUUUGCUUGUGAUAAGUUUAGACCUUAUAUUGUUGAUUCUAAAGUAACUAUUCACACUGAUCAUGCUGCUAUUAAAUAUCUUAUGGAAAAGAAAGAUGCUAAACCUAGACUUAUUAGAUGGGUUCUCUUGCUACAAGAAUUUGAUUUGCAUAUUGUUGAUAGAAAAGGAGCUGAGAACCCCGUUGUAGACAACUUGUCUAGGUUAGAAAAUGUGCUUGAUGACCCACUACCUAUUGAUGAUAGCUUUCCUGAUGAGCAAUUAAAUGCCAUAAAUGCUUCUCAUACUGCUCCAUGGUAUGCUGAUUAUGCUAAUUACAUUGUUGCUAAGUUUAUACCACCUAGUUUCACAUACCAGCAAAAGAAAAAGUUCUUCUAUGAUUUGAGGCAUUACUUUUGGGAUGACCCACAUAUUUAUAAAGAAUGAAUGGAUGGUGUUAUUAGACGUUGUGUACCUGAGCAUGAACAGGAACAUAUCCUACGCAAGUGUCACUCCGAAGCUUAUGGAGGACACCAUGCUGGAGAUAGAACUGCACAUAAGGUACUGCAAUCUGGUUUUUAUUGGCCUACUCUCUUGAAGGAUGCCCGUAAGUUUGUCUUAUCUUGUGAUGAAUGUCAAAGAAUUAGUAAUAUUAGUAGACGUCAAGAAAUGCCUAUGAAUUAUUCACUUGUUAUUGAACCAUUUGAUGUUUGGGGCUUUGACUAUAUGGGACCUUUUCCUUCCUCUAAUGGUUAUACACAUAUUUUAGUUGCUGUUGAUUACGUUACUAAGUGGGUAGAAGCUAUUCCAACUAGUAGUGUUGAUCAUACCACUUCUAUUAAAAUGCUUAAAGAAGUUAUUUUUCCAAGAUUUGGAGUCCCUAGAUAUUUAAUGACUAAUGGUGGUUCACAUUUUAUUCAUGGUGCUUUCCGUAAAAUGCUUGCUAAAUAUGAUGUUAAUCAUAGAAUUGCAUCUCCUUAUCACCCUCAGUCCAGUGGGCAAGUAGAAUUGAGUAAUAGAGAACUCAAAUUAAUUUUGCAAAAGACUGUUAAUAGGUCUAGAAAGAAUUGGUCCAAGAAACUAGAUGAUGCAUUAUGGGCCUAUAGAACUGGAUAUAAAAAUCCUAUGGGCAUGUCUCCAUAUAAAAUGGUCUAUGGAAAAGCAUGUCACUUACCUCUCGAACUAGAACACAAGGCUUAUUGGGCUAUUAAAGAACUUAAUUAUGAUUUUAAACUUGCCGGUGAGAAGAGGUUAUUUGAUAUUAGCUCACUUGAUGAAUGGAGAACCCAAGCCUACGAAAAUGCCAAGUUGUUUAAAGAAAAAGUUAAAAGAUGGCACGACAAAAGAAUACAAAAGCGUGAGUUUAAUGUAGGUGAUUAUGUAUUGCUAUACAACUCUCGUUUAAGAUUUUUUGCAGGAAAACUUCUCUCUAAAUGGGAAGGUCCUUACGUUAUCGAGGAGGUCUACCGUUCCGGUGCCAUAAAAAUCAACAACUUCGAAGGCACAAAUUCGAAGGUGGUGAACGGUCAAAGAAUCAAACAUUAUAUCUCAGCUAAUCCCAUAAAUGUUGAAACCAAUGUUAUUGAAACCGUAACCCCGGAGGAAUACACAAGGGACACUUUCCGGAACGUUUCAAACUCCGAAAAGGAAUAGGUAUGUGGUACGGUAAGUAAACCGACUCCAAAACAGUUUUUAAGGCAAUAUUUCUCCGUUUUGGAAUAUUUAGAAAAAUAAAAACAUAAGAAGCAGUCUGGGAAGGACACGAGGCCUCCACGAGGGUGGAGGGCGCGCCCUACCCUACUUGGCGCACCCCCUACCUCGUGGGCACCUCGUGUGCUCUCCGGACUCCGUUUUCAUACACGACACGUAUUUUGGUCGGUAUAAAUUCAUUAUAUAAUAUCCCGGGGGUUUUGACUCCCGUAUCACGCAAAAAUCUCCUGUCUUUGUUUCGAGCUGUUUUCUGUCAGGGUUGUCAAGGCUAGGCAUUAUGUCAUCUCCCUCCUCCUCCAACCAUGAGGGCAACGAUGCUUGGCUAAUGAAGAUAGAGCUGAAGAGAGAAGAACCCAUGGAGAUCAACAAGGAUGAAGGGAUCAAGAAGGCCAUGGAGGACCAAGUUCCGGCAACAAAAGACACCCUUCAACUGGAUCACAACCUUCUUACCCCAACAGAAAUCAAAGCUUUCAAGAUGAUUGAGUUAGCUUGUAUGCAAAUUAAGUAUCUCACACGUGAAAAUAUUUUGUUGAAGGAGCACAUCAUCGCACUCAAGGGCAUUAUCCGCAAGUUAGAAGACCUCCUACGCUCAAUGUGCGACUAUCCAUCAUCAACAUCCCCACCUUCUUCACCAACAAAGGAGACAUAAUCACAUGGGUAUGGGCACUCCACUUGGCAACUGCCAAGCUUGGGGGAGUGCCCCGGUAUCGUAUCACCAUCACUUUUAUCUUUACCCUUUUUCUUAGUUCAAUCCUUUUGGUAAUUUCUUGAUCUAGUAGAAUAAAAGUUCUUAGUAUGAUCUAGUCGCGGGUUUUGCUUUAUUAUCCUCAUAUGUAAUCGAGUCCGUGAGCUAUAAAAUAAGAUUAGUGCUGAGUCAAGGGCUUGAUUAUUUUGCCAUGAUCCUAAGGGAAUAAAAGAAAAGAGAAAGAAAUAAAAAGAAACAAAGAGAUCAUGUGAGUCUUAUGGAGAGUAAUGAGCUCACGUAGAAAGAGUAUGAUGAAUAAAAGUUGUUUAGGGUUGACAAACACAGUUUUGGUCAUCGUUGCAAUUAAUAGGAAGUAAUAAAGAAAGAGAGGUAUUCACAUAUAAAUAUACUAUCUUGGACAUCUUUUAUGAUUGUGAGCAUUCAUUAAAAUAUGACAUGCUAAAGAGUUGAUAUUGGACAAGGAAGACAACAUAAUGGGUUAUGUUUUCUUACAUCUGAGAUGAAUUAUAUUGUCUUGGAUCUUCCAACAUGAUGAGCUUGCUUUUCCCCCUCAUGCUACCCAAAUUCAUUGCACCAAGUAGAGAUACUACUUGUGCUUCCAAAUACCCUUAAACCAGUCUUGCCAUAAGAGUUCACCAUAUCUACCUAUGGAUUGAGUAAGAUCCAUCAAGUAAGUUGUCAUCGGUGCAAGCAAUAAAAAUUGCUCUCUAAAUAUGUAUGAUUGAUUGGUGUGGAGGAAAUAAGCUUUAUACGAUCGUGUGAUAUGGAAGUAAUAAAAGCGACAGACUGCAUAAUAAAGGUCCAUAUCACAAGUGGCAAUAUAACGUGACGUUCUUUCGCAUUAAGAUUUUGUGCAUCCAACCAUAAAAGCGCAUGACAACCUCUACUUCCCUCUGCGAAGGGCCUAUCUUUUACUUUUAUCUCCUACAUUGCAUAAGAGUCAUGGUGAUCUUCACCCUUCCUUUUUACAUUUUAUCCUUUGGCAAGCACAAUAUGUUGGAAAGAUCCUGGUAUAUAUGGCUAAUUGGAUGUGAGUUUUCAUGAACUAUUACUGUUGACAUUACCCUUGAGGUAAAACGUUGGGAGGCAAAACUAUAAGCCCCUAUCGUUCUCUGUGUCCGAUUAAAACUCCAUACCCAUAAGUAUUGCGUGAGUGUCAGCAAUUGUGAAAGACUAUAUGAUAGUUGAGUAUGUGGACUUGCUGAAAAGCUCUUAUACAUUGACUCUUUCCUAUGUUAUGAUAAAUUGAAAUUGCUUCAAUGACUAAGAUUGUAGUUUGUUAGUUUUCAAUGAAGUUUACAAUUCAUACUUGAUAUUGUAAUUGAAUUAUUACUCUAGCAUAAGAGAUUAUAUGACAAGAAUUAUAUAAGUUGCUGUUCUAAGAAUGAUCAUGAUGCCCUCAUGUCCGUAUUUUAUUUUUAUCGAGACCUCUAUCUCUAAAUAUGUGGACAUAUUUUUCGAUUUCGGCUUUUCUCUUGAGGACAAGUGAGGUGUAGCGACCCGACCUCAGACGGUCAAGUCUCUGUGCUUAAGUGUCAUCCCUGGAUCGGUAUGCUGACACACACAGUACUCAAGGAUUUAUAACAGAGGUAAAUCACAUGUAUAAAGUAACGCAAAAUAUUAUUACCUCAAUCCAAAUAGCGGAAGUAACAAGGUUGUGGAUUCCCAUCAACACCAACGGCAAAGUUGAGUGUAGAAAUUGUAACCCUAACGUAUCACUUACUCAUCGUAAGAUUUCCUGCAACAUGAGACGUUGCAGCCACAAAAGGGUCAGUACAUUGAAUGUACUGGCAAAUUCACACCAUAGGAUAAUGAUGAAUAAAGGCUAUCACUACAUGCAUAUAUGGCUGGUGGAAAAAGCUCAAUGGUUAUAAUGUUUUUGCCAAAAGCCAAUUUUUCCCUACUGCAAAGGAAUAAAUUUUAUUUAACUAUCAUGGUGGUUGUUAAACAUUGAGAGUGUAGACACCCUCUCAAUCCCAAUUAAGCAUCAUCAUUAAAACCCAACAGAAUUAAUUAAAGUCACAUGAUGAGAUUCACAUGAUAAUCCAAGUACUAGAUACUCAAGACGUCCAUAACCGGGGACACGACUAAUCAUGAUUAGUUUAUACACUCUGCAGAGGUUUGCACACUUUUCCCCAUAAGACUCGAUCUCCUCUGUUGGAUUCUCGCACUACAUGGUCUUUGAGAAACGGAUGACCGAGACAUAGUCUUUCAGAAGCGCUAGCACCUUACGAUCGGGUAGACAGUUACACCUACUUUCCCCUACAUCUGCUAGUCUACCACUGUAAGAGUUCGCACGACUUAAUCAACUAUGCUAGAGCCCAUAGUAGCUUGUGGCUGCACAUGGAAGUUUCUAGCAUGAAUAAUCUCAUGAUCCCUUUGAGCCUGGGUGGUGGUCCAUAAAGAAAAACAAGCAAUCGCUGGAAUACCCAGGUGCCUCAAUCCACCCAGAUGUGUAUUAAAGUUGCCACCUUAAGUUGAACCAUUAAUUAACAUUCUCACAUCGGUCAUGGAUACACUCAAACCCAAUCCAUGUCUACAAGCAUAGCAUGGCAUAAGAAAACGUAGAAGUAACUCCCAGGGUUUGAUAAUGAAAUAGGUAAUAAGUACUACCUCAUCUACUUCCCAAACCCACAAUUUAAUUCAGAUCCUAACCAUGCAAUUGUUUGAGGGUUGAUCUAAUGCAAUAAAACUAGGUAGUAAAGAGGUAUGAUCAAAGUGUGAACUUGCCUGCAAUGUUGGUGAAGAUGAUUCACACUCAAAACUCUUGAUAGUUCCACUCGUCACACUCCGAUCAAUCUAUCGUAAGCAAGCAAUAGUAACCACACAUAAGCAAUCACUCAAAAGGGCCGGAAAGAACGAAGAACAAAUCGGAAAACAUCAAAACCAAGCAAAUAACUCUUGCAACGUAAAACAAUUUCUAACAGUACCAAAAUUAUGUGAAUUUGGACUUAUCAGAAAGGUUAGGUCAAGAGCUUCAAUUUGCAAAAAGAAUCAACUAAAACGGAGCUACGGAACUCAAUUUAUGAUCAAACGAAGUUUGAAUUCCAAUCUGGUUUAAUUCAAAUUUUAAACUUUCAGAAACAUGUUUGAGUUGGAUUACUGGAUAGAGGGGAUUAUAGUGAAGAAGUGAGCGUUGGUUUCAUUGGAUUUGGAUAAACGGGUAAAAAGUAGUGAUCGAUUGAAGAACAAGGGCUAUUUUGUAAAUAAAACAUCACAGAUAGGUCCCUGGCCGGAAUUAAAAGAAAAAAAUUAAAUAACGAACGUUCGUCACAGUACCUAAUCUAAUGAAUAUGCUCGCUGUAAAGAUCGAACUAGUGAACGCUCACAAACAAAAAAACGUUCAAAAAAAUAAGAUCUGGAUCGUUAGAUCUAGAUCCAACGGGCGGGAAGCGGAGGUUACCGCGGCGAUCACCGGAGUCCGAGAGGAUGAUGGCAGCGACCUUGGUCUCGGCCGGGGCGGCGGCUCCGGUGGUCGAGGAGGGUAACAGACAGGUCGGGGAGGGGCGGCGCGUCACGACGAGGAGGAUGGCGGCGUCGGCGGCGGUCCACGGCAACGAAAUGGAGCGGGGUGGAGGCGGCUCCGGCGAGAUGUGUGGCGGCGGCUCAAGAUGCGGCGCGAGAGGGAGGAGGAGAGGGCCCGGGCGGCGCCCUUUAUAGGAGGGGAGGGGAGGCGCCAGGCAUGGAUGUAACGCCCCGAGACCGUUGUGCCAGGUGUCGUCCAUUUAUUCGUUGUUGUUUGCCUUGUCUUUGCUUGCGUGUCAUGCAUUGCAUAUUAUGUCAUCAUGUGUAUUUCAUUUGCAUACGUGUUCGUCUCAUGCAUUCGAGCAUUUUCCCCGUUGUCCGUUUUGCAUUCCGGCGCCCCGUUCUCCUCCGGUGGUCAUUUCUACCUUCUUCUCUUGUGUGGGGGUUAAACAUUUCCGGAUUGGACCGAGACUUGCCAAGCAGCCUUGGUUUACUACAGGUAGACCGCCUGUCAAGUUUCGUACCAUUUGGACUUCGUUUGAUGCUCCAACGGUUAACCGAGGGACCGAAAAGGCCUCGUGUGUGUUGCAGCCCAACACCCUUCCAAUUUGGCCCAAAACCCACCUAAACCUCCUCCAUCAUCUUGGUCGUUCGAUCACGACCGCGUGGCCAAAAACCGCACCUAAUUUGGACUCCCCUAGCUCCCCCUACCUAUAAAUAUGUCCCUCCCCCCGAAAUUCGCGGUCUAACCCUAGUCUUCUUGCUCCGCCGCCAUCGGACACGUCCGGCCAUAUCUGGACGCAUUCGCCCGCCGCGCCCAGCCAGCCGCAUGCCGCCACGUGUCGCCGCCGGGUCUCCCCGUCGCCGGCCCGCUCGGCCCAGGGAGGGCCCCCGAGAGCCCGCGCUGCCGCCGCCCUUCUUCCUCCCCGCGCCGCCCGAGUGCAUCGCCGCGCCGCCACCUUCGUCCACGCUCCGCCCUUCGCCGGCCGGCNNNNNNNNNNNNNNNNNNNNNNNNNNNNNNNNNNNNNNNNNNNNNNNNNNNNNNNNNNNNNNNNNNNNNNNNNNNNNNNNNNNNNNNNNNNNNNNNNNNNNNNNNNNNNNNNNNNNNNNNNNNNNNNNNNNNNNNNNNNNNNNNNNNNNNNNNNNNNNNNNNNNNNNNNNNNNNNNNNNNNNNNNNNNNNNNNNNNNNNNNNNNNNNNNNNNNNNNNNNNNNNNNNNNNNNNNNNNNNNNNNNNNNNNNNNNNNNNNNNNNNNNNNNNNNNNNNNNNNNNNNNNNNNNNNNNNNNNNNNNNNNNNNNNNNNNNNNNNNNNNNNNNNNNNNNNNNNNNNNNNNNNNNNNNNNNNNNNNNNNNNNNNNNNNNNNNNNNNNNNNNNNNNNNNNNNNNNNNNNNNNNNNNNNNNNNNNNNNNNNNNNNNNNNNNNNNNNNNNNNNNNNNNNNNCGUCACCGCCCCUCGUCGCCCGGUGACCUCCGGCCGUCCACGUCGCCCCGCGCCGCCGUAGUACCUCCGCCGCCCCCGCACCACGUCGCCCCGGCCAGCGCCUCUCCUCGACAAGCGCGACCCCGCCGGCCACCUCUUCUUCUCCGGUGAGCUGCAGCUCCGGCCGUCCUCGGAUUCCGCGCCCGAUCUGGAUCCAGAUCCAGAUCCACCUCGGGUUGACUUUUGCCUCGAAACCCUAAUUUUUUGCACAUGUUCAUAGCAUCGUAACUCCACAUCCGUAACUCCGUUUUGGACAUAUAGCAUAUCAAAAUGUUCGUCUCAGAGAGUACAUCAUUUCAUUCCAUUGCAUUAUUUUCAUUUGAGUUCAUCUUGGUGCCCGAAAUGCUGUUAGAAGAGGCUACUUGAGAUAAUUGUCAGAUCUGCUGCUCCAUUUAGAUAUUUGUCAUUUUUGCCAUGAUUAUUGUGUGCAUGAUAUGCCCAUGAGCUCUACAUAUGUUUUGUUAAGGGUUUUGCCAUCUAUCCAGAGGUGCAACCCAUGUAUUUUUGUGAUGUGUGUGGUGACUAGCACAAGCUUGCCAAGUGAGGCACUUGGUAAUGCUGAUUUCAGGGACUUAGCAUUUCCACUAAGUCCUUGAUCUGUUUAUCUUAUAUGGCCAUAUGUUCAUGUUAUUUCCUAGUGAUCUGUGCCUCUUUUGAUGAUGAUCAGUAAGGAUGUUUUGUUAAUCUUGUAGUGCUCUAUCCAUCAAUGUCUUUGUUUGCAAUUAUGGAGCACCCUAGCUUGAGUCAAUCGAGCUCUACUUUUGCUAUUUCGUGAAUCUGGGCAGAUUGUCUACUUGUUAGCAAUUUUGCCGAGGAUGUUGUAGUUGAUCCGUGCAUGCUAUGCUAUUGUUCUUGCCAUGUCUAGCUUGUAUAAUGUGUAUUCUUGAUGGGUGUAUGCUUAGAUUGUCAUGACUUGCUUUAUAGUGAGUGCAUCGAGCUCGUAAACAUGCCUACUUGAAAUCUGUUUUCAGCAUGCUCCAGUUUUCACUAAGUAUGUGAUCUGAUUAUGUUUUUGCCAUGUUCACAUGCUUGCAAUUGUAUUUUAUGAUCCCUUUUGGCUCAAGGUCACUAAGGGACUUUUGUUAAGCUCUUUUAGUAGUUCCAUGCCAUGCUUUACUUUGCCAUGUUCAGGUCCUGUAGCAUAUAGUUUUCAUGCUCCGAAGUGUGCUACCUGAUCUGAAAUUCCAGACAAGUGUUAAUUUCACUAAGACUGAAAUCUGUUUACCGUAUGCACUUUUGCCAUGCUUGUUUGAACCUGUUAAUGGAUGAAUUGGCCGUAGCUCAGUGUUCAUCUUUUGUUAAGCAUCUUGAAUGGAUUCCUGCCAUGUAUUUUGUUGCCAUGUUUGAGUGUUGUAGCAUGUCCAUCUCAUUUCAUUUAGCUGGUUACUUGCUGUAUAUCGCAGACCGGUGCCAUAUUUGAAUUGCUUGCCAUUUCCAAACUGUAACUUCGAUUCCGGCGUUCUUUAUAUCGUUUUCAAGCAAUUUCAUCUCAUCUUUCCAGUGGCACACUUGGUUUUCCAAGUUGAGGCCAGAUCCAAUCAUUCCUUGUCAAAUCAUGCAUAUGCAUCGCAUACCGCAUCUCGCAUAUCAUACCAUGUUCAUGUGUUGGUUGUUUACUAUGUUGUGUGCUUCUUUUCCGGUGUUGCUUCUCCGGGUUGGUUCCGUUAACAUCGUGUUUGUGAGGAUUCAUUCUUCUACGUUCCGUUUGUCUUCUUCAUGGACUCGUUCUUCUUCCUUGCGGGAUUUCAGGCAAGAUGACCAUACCCUCGAAAUCACUUCUAUCUUUGCUUGCUUAGUUGCUCGCUCUUUUGCUAUGCCUAUGCUGCGAUACCUACCACUUGCUUAUCAUGCCUCCCAUAUUUUUGAACCAAGCCUCUAACCCACCUUGUCCUAGCAAACCGUUGUUUGGCUAUGUUACCGCUUUGCUCAGCCCCUCUUAUAGCGUUGUUAGUUGCAGGUGAAGAUUGGAGCUUGUUCCAUGUUUGGAACAUGGGUAUUUUGUUGGGAUAUCACAAUAUCUAUUAUUUAAUUAAUGCAUCUAUAUACUUGGUAAAGGGUGGAAGGCUCGGCCUUAUGCCUGGUGUUUUGUUCCACUCUUGCCGCCCUAGUUUCCGUCAUAUCGGUGUUAUGUUCUCGGAUUUUGCGUUCCUUAUGCGGUUGGGUUAUAAUGGGAACCCCUUGACAGUUCACUUUGAAUAAAACUCCUCCAGCAAGGCCCAACCUUGAUUUUAACUUUCGCCACCUAGCCUUUUUCCCUUGGGAGUCGCGCAUCCUGAGGGUCAUCCUAUUUUAACCCCCCCGGGCCAGUGCUUGUCUAAGUGUUGGUCCAACCCAGAGCACCGUGCGGGGCAGUCCCUUGGCAACUUGGGUUACGUUGGCUCCCGUACGCUUAGCUUAUCCGGUGUGCCCUGAGAACGAGAUAUGUGCAGCUCCUAUCGGGAUGUCGGCGCAUCGGGUGGUCUUGCUGGACUUGUUUUACCAUUGUCGAGGAUGUCUUGUAGAACCGGGAUACCGAGUCUGAUCGGAAUGUCUCGGGAGGAGGUCUAUUCCUUCGUUGACUGUGAGAGCUUGUCAUGGGCUAAGUUGGGACUCCCCUGCAGGGAUUUGAACUUUCGAAAGCCGUGCCCGCGGUUAUGGGCAGAUGGGAAUUUGUUAAUGUCCGGUUGUAGAAAACCUGAAGUUGACCUUAAUUAAAAUACAUCAACCGCGUGUGUAACCGUGAUGGUCUCUUUCCGGCGGAGUCCGGGAAGUGAACACGGUGUUGGAGUUAUGCUUGACGUAGGUUGUUUUAGGAUCACUUCUUGAUCAUAGUUUCUCGAUCGUGCUUUGCCUUCUCUUCUCACUCUCUUUUGCGUAUGUUAGCCACCAUAUAUGCUAGUCGCUUGCUGCAGUUCCACCUCAUACCUUUACCUUACCCAUAAGCUUAAAUAGUCUUGAUCGCGAGGGUGCGAGAUUGCUGAGUCCCUGUGGCUCACAGAUACUUCCAAAGCCAGCUUGCAGGUGCCGAUGAGACCGUGCAGAUGACGCAACCAAGCUCAGGAGGAGCUCGAUGAAGAUCUUGUCCUUUGUGUUGCUUCGUUCUAGUUGAUCAGUAGUGGAGCCCAGUUGGGGUCGAUCGGGGACCUUUGUCGCAUUUGGGGUUCUUCUUUUAUUUUGGUUCCGUAGUCGGACCUUGAUUGUAUUUGGAUGUUGUAAUGCUUUAUUCAUGUAAUUGUGUGAAGUGGCGAUUGUAAGCCAACUAUGUAUCUCUUUUCCCCUAUUGGAUUACAUGGGUUGUGAAGAUUACCUCACUUGCGACAUUGCUUUCAAUGCGGUUAUGCCUCUAAGUCGUGCUUCGACACGUGGGAGAUAUAGCCGCAUCGAGGGCGUGACAGUGGAGGAGGGGCAAGGGGAGGCGUGCCUGACUGGGACUCGGCGGUGGCGGCAGAGUCGGCCACACUUGGGACUUCGUCCCGAGCUCGAAGACGGAGGCGGUGGCAAGCUGGGCAAGGCCUGGCUGAGGAGUUGGGCCGGCCCAGUCGGCGGGGAAUUCUUUUCUUAAAUAACGAUUUUCCAGAAAAAAAAACUAAAACAAAAUAAACGAAAAUAAUAUAUAGGCAUAUAAUAUAUCAAAAUUUUCAGAAAACAAUUUUCUACAAUGUGAACAUUGUUGUAAUUUCAAAUAAAAUCUACAAAAAUUCGAAUAAAUCAAACAAUGCUACUGAUUCAAUAAAACCCACUAAAAACCAUUUUUAAAAAAUACCAAAAUGAUUUCAAAUUAAUUUUUCUCCAACUUCCUAUUGUAGGGAAUCAUGUUACCCUAUUUUCCAUGUAUUUUGUUUUUGGAGAAAAAUAAUUUGAAUAAAAUUCAAAUAACCCAAAUUGAAAAAUAAUAAUUUCAAAUGGAUUUUAAAUUUGAGUUUCUUUGAAACUCCCAACUCAUAUUUCAUAUGUUCUGAAGAAGUCAUUUUAUCUUCUCUCAUGAAAAUCAUUGAGUUGCUUAAAGUUUCAGAACUGGAAAUAUUUUCAAAUGAAAUUCAAAUAUUUUCAACACCCCUUUUCAUUUAAAUAAAUGGAAGAAGUCAUGUCAUCUUCUCUCUAGGGUUUUGUGGUGAAAAGAAUUUGAAUUCACGGAGAUCAUAAAAGCAAAAAAAUGAAAGUUUGGGAAAGUCCUUUUAUUCCCUCUCAUUUAACUUUCAAAAGGUUUCGACUUUCACUCAAUCUCACUCAAACAAUCAAACAGUCAAUCAAAUCUAUCUAUUUAUUAUAACAUUCCAAAAUUUAGAAUUUUGGGAUGUUACAAACCUACCACCCUUAAAAUGAAUCUCGUCCUCGAGAUUCGGAGAGGCUAGAAAGAAAUGGGUUAGGGUUUGGGGUCUCCUCAAAAUCCAUCAAUUGUCUUCGGGGUCUGGGGUGCUACCACCCUUAGAAUCAUUGUUACGAUUCCAUCAAAACUCAUAUACUCCAUCCUUAUUCUUGACAGUGUCAGUCUUCUCAGAUCAUAAGGAUGCUUCCUUCCCUGGGCUCUUCCAGUAGUGGCAUAACCUUUUCCUCAAUUCUUAUGUCCUUUCCUCUUAGUAAGGUUAUUCCGAGAUUGGGUCUUCUUAGCUGACAGGUCUAGCGCCAAUACUAACUAACUAUCGAUAUCUCAUGGUGGUCAACAAUUUAGGGUUUCUCCUGCAGGAAAUGGGUCUGGGUUGAACCUCACCGUAUAACCUACGAUUGGCAGCAACUGCCUUGUACAAAGGGAAAAAAUAAAUUGUCAUACCAUUCUAAGGUUUUAAGCAAGGUUUUAAUCGUCGUUUCUCUACUAUGGGUAAGUCACUCAGAUUCACCAUCCCAUAUAGCAAGGCGAAUAAUAAGAGUAAGUCGGUAUGGUGAUCAAUCCAUCCCGCACCCAAAUCAUUACCCUGUAUAUGGUUUAGCGAAUCUCGCAUUCUAACACUCGGUCAUCCUCACAAGCAUUACAGAAUUUCUCUUGUCAACGAACCAAGUUCGGAUAAAUCCAUUAAUUCUGCAAGCCAAACAAACAUCUAUUGUUCCUUCACAACUCUCAGGUUUUGCGUAAACUCGUAUAAAAUCAUCGGUUGAUAAAGUCGCAACUCCUUCCAGGUUUUUUUCCUUCAGCAAGAGUGUACUUGCCUCUUGGCAGUUCCUGGGGCAUGUGGGUUAUGGCCCAUCUCAUCACUUGUAGUCCUUAAACUUAUCAUCGGGCAACUGAUCAUUAUUCCAACUUCCAACUUCCUUGUAUUCUUAAAUCCAUCCAAUUGUACUGUCUUCCUUCCUUCUAUUGGCACCAAACUAGGACAUGAUUACUCAGACUCAUCAUGGAGUUUCCAUUGAUCCAUAUUUCCGACAUCAUACCUCCUUUAUAUCCAAUAGUAAUUUAUCUCUUCAUCCUCGUGGGUUAUCCCACAUAGCGAGAUAAAAAAACUUAUACUUAUGAAGUCCAUACUCCACUUCAUGGAACAUCAUUAUCCUUUCCAGGGUCAAGCGUCCUUACAGGGGAAUAUUGGCCAUCUCUGUAUGGCACUUCUUCAACUAGGAAACGUGAAACACAUCAUGAACUCCUGACAGUCCUUCCGGUGACUCCAACUUGUUGGCCACAUCUCCCAUAUGCUCCAAAACUUGGUAUGGUCCUACAAAUCUCGGGGAUAACUUUCCCUUAACUCCAAAUCGUUUAACUCCUCGCAGAGGGGACACACGAAGACAUGCUCUAUCUCCAAUUUCAUAGACUACCUCCUUGCGUUUUUGAGUCUGCCUAACUCUUCUGCCUGGAAUGAGCUACCUUCAGUCUAUCUCGAAUCAACUUAACAUUCUCUUCUGACUCCUUGAUCACAUUUGGUCCAAACAACUGACAGUCUCCAACUUCAUCCUACAUACUCUUGGGGUAUCACACAUAUCGAGACAAAACUCGUACUUAUUUUGUCUGAAAUCCACUCAGUGGAAUAUCCUUAUCUUUUCCAGGGGUCAAGGGUUAUUACAGGGUACUACCACCCUUAAAAAUGCACAAAUCUCCCAUAGACCAUAUUUCUCAUAUCCACAAAAAUGGUCAAAAUCCUUCUUCAUAGAGUAACAACUCAUAAAAUCCAAAUAGUACCCACGAUACUAACUUUAUUGAUUCUCAAAGUAUUACAAUCUCUCGCUUUUCCAUUACAUGUCUCAACUCAACACCUCAAUAUAAAAGAAAAUGCUCUCACCACUACUACUAUACUUCUCACAACUAAUUAUCACAAGUCCCCUUCUCCUUGGGGCAUUCUCUGGCAAAAUGCCCUGCUCCAUUACAACAAAAACAUAUUACUUCUGACAAGUCUCGAGGUUUCCUUUUUGGGCAACUGCUGAGGUAGUGCCCUGACUUCUUGCACCUGUAACAGGUGAUAUGACUCAGGUCCUUCCUGGAAUCCAAUCUGCUUCUCUUCCUGGACAUUUCCAUGCCGAUCAUGGCUUCUAUUUCUUGUGGGUCAUAUUCUACUUCCUCCAUCGAGAAUUCUACUAGAUCCCCAUUCAUACAAUUCUGGGAGAUGUGUCCUUCUUCUCCACAUGAAUAGCAUGACCUGGUGCAGGGUUUCAUUGGUUCUUCUUUGGGUAUGUCCCCGGCAUCUUCCUUCAUCAUGGGUUCUUCUAAAAUUCCCAUAAGGGCUCCUUUCUUUACUUCUUUCUUCUGCUGUAUGGUUCUUCGUACCAUGUGGUAAAUGUGACAUUGUGCAGGGUAGUGGGUAGUCCCUUCACACAAGAAACAAGUAAUCUGUCUAGUUGGGCAUUCUUCAACUUGGUGACUUCCUUCAUAAUUAGGGCAUUCAUCAUUGUGUUCUUUAUGGGUGUGUCCUAUUUCUCCACAAAGCUUGCACGCACAAGGUUUCUUUAUAUCCUUUCCAUAAGGCUUCAACUUCUAGGACACAAGAUGAGAUCUUUGUAGAGUUAACUUAAAUUCUUUCCAAGUGAUUACUCCCUGCCAUCCAUUGAUGGUUUGGUACAUCCUCCACCAAGUAGCAUGACCUCUUUCAAAGCACUGAAGAGCAUGAUGGGUCAUAUCCUUUCCAACUAUAGGGUUAUUCUUCAUAUGAUUCUCCAUGUUCUGAAUCCAUCGGUCCGUCUCCAAUUGACUCAUCGGUCCAGAAAAGGUGAGCUCAUUUCCAUUCAUCCUCUAUUGGGUCCAUGGGUUUUUUUGGGUGAGAUAAGAGAGAUAGAGAGGGAUACACACAAAGCAAACAAUAGUUUUGAAAAGACGGAUUUUAUUUGUGGCUGUCGGAAAAAAAACAUCAAACAAAUGACAGCUCAUAAUCGUCGCAUCUAACGUAGGUAUAUAAUAGGGGCUUGGUCUUCUAAAGGUCAAUGAAUCUUCAAAGUCAUCAAACUCUUCAAGUCUUGUUCCUGACUCUGAUGGCUUCUUCCGAUCGUGCUUGUCCUUCUCAACUUCUUUUGCCAGAUCAUCUCUGUUGACACGAAGUCUCUCAUGACGUCCUUCAUUAUUUCUAGAGUUGUGUUCCAAACUUCCGGGUUUCAACAUCCUUGGCAUGAGCCAUGGUCCUACUGUCCUUCAGUUCCUAACGAAUCUCCGGUAUCUCGAGGUUGUAGCUCCUCCAGCUUGGCUACUUUCAGCUUCUGGUUCUGAGUUCUUCACGAAAUGUUUCCUUGUCUAAUACUACUUCCUGCAGGUCCAUCUUAACUUCUUGAUGUAACAAUCCAGAUCCUGGUGAUACACCAGAUAAGGUUAAAACUUCAUCUUUUGCUGAUAGAUGCUCCAUCAGCCUUCUACCAUCCAAUCCUUCCAUGCAUAAGCAUGCUUAACUCAGCACCGUGAUAAUAGCAUCAGCGGGCGAUGACAUCACGGAUAACCGUGUUUCUGCUCUUGUCAUUUCCAUGAGCUAUCUUCCAUAGUUGAUAUCUCCUGCCUUAGGGUUUUCUUGACAAACCUUCGAGUUCUCAUGCUCCUUGUUUCAGUCUUUCUCCGAUACACCUUGAUCUCGGUAUUGAUAGCUUCCAUAGUCUGCCAAGUUCCAUAAGGUAGCCUUCCUAGGUCAUACAAAUCUGGGAAUUCUUCAGAGCCUUCAAAUUCUCCUUGUCUUCGGUCUUCAACAGUUGUAGUUUCCAUUGCACAGUAAAUACUCUUCAUUCCGAAGUGGUCUUUAGUUGUCCGAUAUCUUGUACUUCUGGAGUGGUCUCAUCAGUCAAAUCUUCAUGUGGUCAAAAGGGGAAAUGGGUAUGGUCUCGCUAAAGGGAAUAUUUGAAUACGCUCAGAAGAGAAGAGAGGUAAAAGAUCUUUUGAAAAUGAGGUUGUAGAGAAAAUCUUUCCUAUGGGCUUGCCAAUUUCUAGGGUCACGUCCUACAGUCAACAUGUGCUCUGAUACCAUCUUGUAGCGACCCGACCUCAGACGGUCAAGUCUCUGUGCUUAAGUGUCAUCCCUGGAUCGGUAUGCUGACACACACAGUACUCGAGGAUUUAUAACAGAGGUAAAUCACAUGUAUAAAGUAAUGCAAAAUAUUAUUACCUCAAUCCAAAUAGCGGAAGUAACAAGGUUGUGGAUUCCCAUCAACACCAACGACAAAGUUGAGUGUAGAAAUUGUAACCCUAACGUAUCACUUACUCGUCGUAAGAUUUCCUGCAACAUGAGACGUUGCAGCCACAAAAGGGUUAGUACAUUGAAUGUACUGGAAAAUUCACACCAUACGAUAAUGAUGAAUAAAGGCUAUCACUACAUGCAUAUAUGGCUGGUGGAAAAAGCUCUAUGGUUAUAAUGUUUUUGCGAAAAGCCAAUUUUUUCCUACUUUAAAGGAAUAAAUUUUAUUUAACUAUCAUGGUGGUUGUUAAACAUUGAGAGUGUAGACACCCUUUGAAUCCCAAUUAAGCAUCAUCAUUAAAACCCAACAAAAUUAAUUAAAGUCACAUGAUGAGAUUCACAUGAUAAUCAAAGUACUAGAUACUCAAGACGUCCAUAACCGGGGACAUGGCUAAUCAUGAUUAGUUUAUAUACUCUGCAGAGGUUUGUGCACUUUUCCCCACAAGACUCGAUCUCCUUCGUUGGAUUCUCGCACUACAUGGUGUUUGAGAAACGGAUGACCGAGACAUAGUCUUUCAGAAGCGCUAGCACCUUACGAUCGGGUAGACAGUUACACCUACUUUCCCCUACAUCUGCUAAUCUACCACUGUAAGAGUUCACACGACUUAAUCAACUAUGCUAGAGCCCAUAGUAGCUUGUGGCUGCACACGGAAGUUUCUAGCAUGAAUAAUCUCAUGAUCCCUUUGAGCCUGGGUGGCGGUCCAUAAAGAAAAACAGGCAAUCGCUGGAAUACCUAGGUGCCUCAAUCCACCCAGAUGUGUAUUAAAGUUGCCACCUUAAGUUGAACCAUUAAUUAACAUUCUCACAUCGGUCAUGGAUACACAAACCCAAUCCACGUCUACAAGCAUAGCAUGGCAUAAUCAAACGUAGAAGUAACUCCCAGGGUUUGAUAAUAAAACAGGUAAUAGGUACUACCUCAUCUACUUCCCAAACCCGCAAUUUAAUUUAGAUCCUAACCAUGCAAUUGUUUGAGGGUUGAUCUAAUGCAAUAAAACUGGGUAGUAAAGAGGUAUGAUCAAAGUGUGAACUUGCCUGCAAUGUUGGUGAAGAUGAUUCGCACUCAAAACUCUUGAUAGUUCUACUCGUCACACUCCGGUGAAUCUAUCGUAAGCAAGCAAUAGUAACCACACAUAAACAAUCACUCAAAAGGGUCGGAAAGAACGAAGAACAAAUCGAAAACAUCAAAACCAAACAAAUAACUCUUGCAACGUAAAACAAUUUCUAACAGUACCAAAAUUAUGUGAAUUUGGCCGUAUCAGAAAGUUUAGGUCAAGAGCUUCAAUUUGCAAAAAGAAUCAACUGAAACGGAGCUACAGAACUCAAGUUAUGAUCAAACGAAGUUUGAAAUCAAAUCUGGUCUAAUUCAAAUUUUAAACUUUCAAAAACAUGUUUGAGUUGAAUUACUGGAUAGAGGGGAUCAUAACGAAGAAGUGAGCGUUGGUUUCAUUGGAUUAGGAUAAACGGGUAAAAAGUAGUGAUCGAUUGAAGAACAGGGGAUAUUCUGUAAAUAAAACAUCACAGAUAGGUCCCUGGCCGGAAUUAAAAGAAAAAAAAUCUAAAUAACCAACGUUCGUCACAGUACCUAAUCUAAUGAAUAUGCUCGCUGUAAGAUCGAACUAGUGAACACUCACAAACAAAAAAAA
This 54004-nucleotide long non-coding RNA is filed under the name Triticum aestivum (bread wheat). RNAcentral's name for it is "long non-coding RNA (TAES_LNC020949)". The record is from RNAcentral. Lineage: Eukaryota; Viridiplantae; Streptophyta; Magnoliopsida; Poales; Poaceae.